RNAcentral lists this long non-coding RNA (48304 nucleotides) under Ananas comosus (pineapple). RNAcentral describes it as "long non-coding RNA (ACOM_LNC030852)". The record is from RNAcentral. Lineage: Eukaryota; Viridiplantae; Streptophyta; Magnoliopsida; Poales; Bromeliaceae.
UUUUUUUGAAUUUUUUUUAAAUUUAAUUUUUUUUAUUAUAAGAAUUUGAAAUAUAUAAUUAUUUAUACCUUAGGUACCGUUUGAUUCGGGUAUAAGCAAGAACUAGCUAUUACAGGGAUAGGUACAAGUAUGGGGAUAAAAAAAAUAGCGUUUGGAUGAAAAUUGGGUUGUUCCCGAGAAUAAGAAAAAUAUUAGGAAGUUUUAUAUAGAAAAUGGAGGUGUUGGUGGGGAUAACCGAGAACUACUAUUCUCGGGUAAGACAGUGUUUGGUUAGAGAAUAGGAAUAGGAAUAGGUCUUUAUCCACCCCCUUUAUAUCCAAACGCUAAUUUUUUAUCCGAGAAUAGUAGUUCUCGAUUAUCUCCACCAACACCUCUAUUUUCUAUAUAAAACUAUCUAAAAUUAUUCUUAUUCCCGAAAACAACCCAAUUUUCAUCCAAACAUUAUUUUUCUUAUCCCCAUGCUUGUACCUAUUUCUGUAAUAGCUAGUUUUUGCCUAUAAAACUAUUUUUUACCCAGUUUAGAUUGCAUAAAUUAAGUAUAAAUUUUAAUUUUCUAAUAUUGAUCAUUUAUAUAUAAAUUGUAUAAUAAAAAAUAAAAGAAAGAUGAAUAGAGUUUAAGUUAAUAUUUAAUAAAUUUAGUUGUAGAAAUUACAUGAAGUACUAAUUAAAUAUGUAAAACUAAACAAUAUAUUCAAAUUUUGAAGUCAAAGUAUCAUUAAGUGACUCAAAUUUAACAUAUAAAAAUGUUAGCUAGUAAAAAUAAAAUUUUGAAAGGUCUGAUAACUGAUUCAAAAUGGUUCGUAGUUCAAAAGAGUUUUGUACAUUUUUACUUUAAUUUUAAUAUCAAACCUCAAUAUCAUAUUUAUAGUCUGAUGAGUGAUUAAUUUCAUAUUUAAAAUAUUUUGGAAUAUACAAAAUAUGAUUGGUCAACUUUUAAUUUUAACAAAAAUAUAUUAGAUGGUACAGCAUGUUCUUUCCUAAAAUAAAAUUAGUAAUUGCAAAAAACCGAUCAAUGCUCAAUUCUUUCUUUGUCUAGAAUAAAAUUAAAAUAUAAAAAAGAUAAAUUACGCUUUUGAUCCUCAAACUAUAAAACACGUGAUACUCUAGUCUUCGAAUUUAAAUGGAUUAUAUUUUCUUACUCAGAGUAUGAGGCACGUGAAGCUUUAGUUCUCAAACUUUAAUGAGUUGUAAUUUCAGGCUGGAACCAUAAAGUAUAUGAUAUUUUAAUUCUCAACUUUUACUACUACUAUAAAUAUAAUUUAUUAUUCUCAUAAUUAUUUUUUUAUUUUUUAUAUUUUUAUUAUUAUAUUUUUACUAUAGCAGCUAUUUUUUUAUUUUUUUAACUUUAUUUGUUCCUACAUAAUCGAUCAACCGCAAUGCGCUGAUACCUUCACUAGUAAACCACAUGCUUCUCCAGUAGUGUCUGUAUUUCCAAUUACAUCAACUCAAAAUAAGGUUAAAGAGCUAGAAGCCUAGAAUUGGUGUUUGAUGUUCUUGGCCAAGCAGGUGAUUUAGGUGUCUCUCAAAGUGGACCACAUCUAGCACAGGUUGUCCUUCCUUGAUAGGGAGCAUCAAAGUGGCUUUAGGCAGGGAAAUUCAUUAUAGCUUCAUGUUCAUUCAUAAGUUUCUCAGUAAUUUACACUUUUAAUUCUCAAAUUAUAAGGCGCGUGAUACUUAGAUGCUCAAAUUUAAAUUUGUUAUAAGGGUCCGUGCUUUGCAGCGAAUAGAUAGUAUUUCAAUAUAUGUGAUAUUUGUACACAUAUAUAUCCGGUGCACAUAUAUACUCGGUACAGAAUAUGCUUAAUUUAAUAGACUCAUAGUUUUAAGAGAGAGAAUAAAUCUUUUCCUGCACCUAGUAUAUACUAAUGCUUCAUACAAGCAUAUUAAAUAAUUAAUAAAAUAUUUAAUAAUCAGUAGGACAACAUAAAAUAUAAUAUAAAAUACUUAAGUAAUUUAUUAUAGGAAAAACUUCAAAUACCCCCCUGUGGUUUCGCACUUUCUCACUUUAGUAGCCUGUGGUUUAAAGUGUAUCAAGUUAGUACCAUUUAGUUUCGUACUUUUUCACUUUAGUACCCUAUGGUUUAAUAAGUUGAGCAUCGAUGAGAACUUUUCAAAAGGUUUAAUAAUAAAAUCAAAGUAAAAACAUACAGAACUUUUCUAAACUACAAACUAUUUUGAAUCAGCUAUCCAACCUUUUAAAACUUUAUUUUUACUAUCUAAUCAUUUUAUAUGUUAGAUCUGAAUAAGUUAAUGAUAUUUUGAUUUCAAAAUUUGAAUAUAUAAUUUAGUUUCAUAGAUUUAAUUAGUACUUCAUGUAAUUUUUGCAACUAAAUUUAUUAAAUAAAUAGUUAACUUAAACUUCAUCUAUCACUUUUUUAUUUUUUAUUGUACAAUUUAUAUCUAAGUGAUCAAUAUUAUAAAAUUAAAAUUUAUAUUUAAUACUGGAAUCUAAACUAUUUAAAAGUACGUAUAUAUUUUAAAUUUUUUUGAUAAGGGAGAAAAUUUGAUUAAAUUUUUAGAAAAAAUCGCUUCUCAAAAUUAAUAAAAAAUAAAAAAAAAUUAAAAAUAUGAAAAAAAAAAGAUGGGCCCCACCUGCCUGGGCCUAACUCCCAUCCUUCCCGCUAAAAUUGAAAUAUACCAUCACAAAAAACUAGUGCAGGACCUGCACUUUGCAGCGAAUAAAUAGUAUUUCAAUAUAUGUGAUAUCUGUACACAUAUACAUCCGGUGCACAUAUAUACUCAGUACAGAAUAUUCUUAAUUUAAUGCACUCAUAAUUUUAAGAGAGAAAAUAAAUCUUUUCUUGCAACUGGUAUAUACUAAUGCUUUAUACAUGGUGUAAGUAUAUUAAAUAAUUAAUGAAAUAUUUAAUAAUCAGCAUAGCAACAUAAAAUAUAAUAUAAAAUACUUAAGUAAUUUAUUAUAUAAUAUAAUAUAAAUUUAUAUUUGAUACAUAGAUAUUGACAUAUUAAUGAUAUUUAAUUAAACAAUUUAAUCAUAAUAUUUGUUUAAAAAAAUAUGUGGAACAAUUGUUACGGAUUUUACUAAUUUGAAGACCAAAAGUGUAAUUAUUCCAAAUGAAAAUAAGUUGAGCAUCGAUCAGAACUUUUCAAAAGGUUUAAUAUUAAAAUCAAAGUAAAAACAUACAAAACUUUUCUAAACUACGAACUAUUUUGAAUUGGCUAUCUAACCUUUUAAAGUUUUAUUUUUACUAUCUAACCUUUUUAUAUGUUAGAUUUGAAUCAGUUAAUGAUAUUUUGACUUCAAAAUUUGAAUGUAUCAUUUAGUUUUACAGAUUUAAUUAGUACUUCAUGUAAUUUUCGCAACUAAAUUUAUUAAAUGAAUAGUUAACUUAAACUUCAUUUAUCACUUUUUUAUUUUUAUUGUACAAUUUAAAUCUAAAUGAUCAAUAUUAUAAAAUUAAAAUUUAUAUUUAAUACAUGAAAUCUAAACUAUUUAAAAGUACGUAUAUAUUUUAAAUUUUUAUGAUAAGGGAGAAAAAUUAGAUUAGAUUUCUAAAAAAAUCCACUUCUCAAAAUUAAUAAAAAAAGAAAAAUUAAAAAUUAAAAAUAUGAAAAAAAAAAAGGUGGGCCCCACCUGUCUGGGCCUACCUCCGUCCUUCCCGCUCCCCGCCCGCCCCCAGGCCCCCCGCCCUCUGUUUUGCCACGUAUACCCGAAUAGACUCAACUUUCAUGCCCUAUAAUAAAAUUGAAAUAUACCAUCAUAAAAACUAGCACAGAACCCACGUUUUGCAACGGAUAAAUAGUAUUUCAACAUAUGUGAUAUCUGUACACAUAUACAUCCAGUGCACAUAUAUACUCAAUACAGAAUAUUCUUAAUUUAAUGCACUCAUAGUUUUAAGAGAGAAAAUAAAUCUUUUCUGCACGUAUACCUGAACAAACUCAACUUUCAUACAUUUAUAGAUGACAUAAAAGUAAUAUAUAUAUAUAUAUAGAGAAAGAGAGAGAGAGAGAGAGAGAGAGAAGAGUCCUGCUGGGAUACUAUCGAUAGCACGAAGCAAUUGGUGCUAUCAAGUUUUCUGCCGUUAGAUUUAUCUCUUUUAUCAUUUUUAUCCGUUCGAUUAUACUAUUCAACUAACCUCCCACUCAACCCUACGGAGCUCACAUCUCCCUAAUCACACAUCUUUUAAUCCAAGGGUAGAAAACUUAAUAGCACUAAGUCAUUGGUGCUAUUAAUAGUAUUCCAGCCUAGUUCUAUAUAUAUAUAUAUAUACAUAUAUACAAAUAAAUAAAAUGAGAGUCUAAAAGGAGCCCUCCCCGCGUUUGGGGGGUCCGGUGGGGCCCACCAGCGAGGAGCCAAGGCGCGGUCACGGGCUCGGGCAGGCAAAGGUGUGGGUAGCGUUUAACGAGCCGAAACGACGAACGGGUCGCUCUGUUCCGCUACAUUUAAAACACGAACAGUGUCUUCUCGGUUCACUGCUGAGAUCUGAGCGAAAAAUUCAGGCUCGCGUUCACUGGGAGCUUGGCUCACGAGCUGCUAACGAACAUAAAUUAAAAAAAAUAUAGAUUAAAUAUAUAUAAAAGAUAAAUUAUACUUAUCCAUUAAGAACUUUGAUCUAAAUGUUAAAAGCUUACAUAUAAUAGUUUUUUAAUAACUAAACUUGCAUUAAUAUUUAUUCUUUGUUAAAAUAAAUAAUAAAAAUAAUACUAUUAUUAUUUAUUUAUUUAUAUUAAAAAUAUAAUUAAUAAAAUUAUAUAAUAAUAUACUAUAUGUAUUCAACUGUUUUCUAGAGCAGGGAACACGAGCGAGCUGACCCAGCUCGUGUUCCGUCUCUUUAUUAACCGAACUGAAAAAUCGCAGCCUCGUGUUCGGCUCGUAUAAAUGAGCAGCUGAUCUCGAGCUCAAUUGAGCCGAACACCGAGCUGGCUCGGCGAACAGCUACUCAUUGCCACGCCUAGGUGCGGGCACGGGCGGGCACGGGAAUAGGCGCGGGCGCGAGCCGGGGUGGGCCUGAGGCGUGGGUGGCAAGAGGGCCCGCGCGGGUGCAAACCGGGGCAGGCGUCGGGCGGGGUGCGCGAGCCGGCGCGGGCCAGGCGCGAGCCGGCACGGGGCAGGCACGGUGAGGUCGUGUUUUUUUUGCCUUUUUCAUUUAAUUUUUCCUCUCUGCUUGCUCCUUGCCUCUCUCUCUCUCUCUCUCUCUCUCUCUCUCUCUCUCUCUCUCCGAUAUCCCCAUGCGGAUCCGCCGGGAUCCGCGGCACGAUCUUCAUCGGUAAGGGAUCUGGCGUGGAUCUUUUUCUCCUCCUUCCCCUCCCCAUCGCGCGAUCGGCCCGGAUAAAGAUUGAUGGCUCUUUUUUUUUUCUUUUAUACUUAUAAAUUCCAACAGUCGUUUGUUAUUAUUAUUCCUUUCGUUUUUAUCCUCAUUUUUUUAGGAUCGCUGACCAAAUUUUUUUAUUUUAGCAUUUGUGAAAUAUUAUAUCAGAAAUUUUAUUUACAUAUUAUAAAAUUUAUAAUUAAAUAUUUGUGUCAAAAUUAUCCACGAUGAAGCGCGGGUACUACAGUCGUAUAUAUAUAGUAAGGCGACUAUAUUCUUAUAAGUAUAGAGCUUUUCGUACUUAUAAGUUAUUUUUGAUGUUGGGGCUUUCGAAUUGACGAUCCACACCGUUAAACAUGAUCUAAAGAAUUUGAAACUUUCAAAAAAUCAAUUUCGUAAUUUUUCGAAAUCAUUAUAAAGUUCAUCAAGCGCGUAUAAAAUGAACGGUCAAAAUUGAACGACAUCCUAAAAAUGGAUGAUCAGAUUCUUCAAUAAGAUUGGAGUUAUUGAUCUUUAUCUAGGAAAUGAAUAGAAUUUUCUAUAAAAAAUUCAACAUAUUUCGAUUCUUUUACCGGCCAUUAAAAAUUUUCAAUUUUGUGAGCUUUUGAUCAUAAGGUAAAUGAUAUCGAAAAAUUAUAAAAUUUGAUUUCUAGACGUUUUAAAUGCGCUAGAUAAUGUUUAACGGUAUGGAUCGUCGAUUCAGAAGCUCUAUCAUCGAAAACAACUUAUAAGUACGAAGGUGAUUGUACUCAUAAGAGUAUAGUAACCGGACUCUCUCUCUCUCUCUCUCUCUCUCUCUCUCUCUCUCUCUCUCUCUCUCUCUAUAUAUAUAUAUAUAUAUAUAGAGUUGAGCUAAAAUACUAUCGAUAGCAAAUGAGCUCCGUUGCCAUCCAUUUAUUUUUGAUGAUGGAGCAUCCAAAUCGACGAUCAGCACCGUUGAACAUGAUCUAUACCACUUGAAAUGUUUAGAAAUCAAAUUUCAUACAUUUUCGAUAUUGUUCUCUUAUCCAUCGAGUGGAUAUAAAAAUGAACGGUUGAAAAUGAAUAUUCUUUAAAAACUGAUGAUAGGAGUCUUGUAAUCAAGAUCAAGAGUAUAGAUCUUGUUUUAAAUAGUUUAAGAAUUUUCUAACAAAAAUUCAAUUGAUUUGAAUAUCUUUACGCCGUUAACCGAGAAAACGUAUCAUAUCGACCAUUAAAAUUACAAAUGUUGAAACCUUUUGAUCAUUAGGCAAAUGAUGUCGAAAAGAUUUGAAAUUUGAUUUCUAAAUACUUCAAGUGGUAUAGAUCAUGUUCAACAGUGCCGAUCGUCGAUUUGGAGGCUCUAUCAUAAAAAACAAAUGGGUGGCAACAGAGCUCGUUUGCUAUCGAUAGUAUUCUAGCUCAACUAUAUAUAUAUAUAUAUAUAUAUAUAGAGUGAGGCUACUAUGCUAUCGGAAGCACGGAGCCUUCCGUGCUUCCAGCUCGUUUUCAAUGUUGCAACUUUCAAAUCGUCGAUCGGCUCCGUUAAACUUGAUCUAGAGUAUUUGGAGUACCUAGAAAAUAAAUUUUAUUAUUUUUCGAUAUCAUUUGCCUAGUGAUCGAAUAGGCUCAAAAUCAACAAAUUAAUGGCCGUAUGAGCCGUUGCAAGUAUUGAAUGGAUGUACGAAUACCAAAUCACUUGUGAAAUUUGAUAGAAAAUACUUUAUACUAUAUAAAAAAAAGAAAAAAAAAACAAAUAUAUCUUGAUUUAAAAUUAAUGUCAUAUAUUACAUUGAAAUUUUUAUUUCCAGCCGUUGAUUUAGCCCCUAUCGUAUCACCUAGGCAAAUGAUAAUCGUAAAAAUCCAUAAAAUUAUAAUUCACUAGGUACUUGUCAAUACUCUAUGAUCGAAGUUUAACGGAGCCGAUCGUCGAUUCGAAAGUCGCAACAUCGAAAAUGAGCUGGAAGCACGGAAGGCUCCGUGCUUCCGAUAGCAUAGUAGCCUCACUCUAUAUAUAUAUAUAUAUAUAUAUAUAUAUAUAUAAUUGAGCUCCUAUGCUUUUAAAAGUACCAAGUCAUUCGUACUUGUAAGUUUUAGGCCCUUGGAUUAAAGGAUGUGCGGUUAGGAUGAUGUGGGCCCCCUAGAGUUGAGUGGGUGGUUGGUUGAAUAAUAUAAUCUAACAGAUAAAAAUGAUCAAAGGCGGAGAUCUAACGGUAAAAAAUUUACAAGCACCAAGUGCUUGAUACUUUUACAAGCGCCAUAGCCGGACUCUCUCUCUCUCUAUAUAUAUAUAUAGUUGAGCUAGAAUACUCUCAAAAGCAUCAUGGGGGUGGUGCUUUUGAGUUUUUAGCCAUUGGAUGGAAAGAUGUGAGGUUGAGAUGAUGGUGGUAGGUGGUGGUAGGUGGUGGUAGUGUUUGAUCCAAGGGCUAUUAGUAAUCAAGAAGUAGAUCCAAUGGCUAAAAACCUAACAGCACCAUGGGGGUGAUACUUGUAAAAGUAUUCUAGCUCAAUUAUAUAUAUAUAGUAGGUCUUGUGUAGUAUUCUUAGUUUUUGGGUUGCCUGCGAGAUUUCAGCAUCUGAGGCUUGUCGACACAUCUGGAAAGUGUCGGGACAAGUCAGAGUCAUUUUGGCGCGAAAUAAACGCAAAACGGACUCAGUGCGAUGCGAAAGCAGAGUUUUAACAUUGAAAUCUGUAAAGUGCAGGUUUUCAGUGUUGAGUACCGGUACCCCAGUGUAAUUCCAAACAGAUUGCUCUCGGGUUGCGCCAAUUUGAUGCUGAGUACCGAUACGGCAUCGGGCUAGUACCGGUACCCUGUGUGCGAGCUUGUGGGUUGAGAGGCCAUUUGAGUUGGUAGAAGAUAUUGUAGUCUUUAUUGAGUUGGUGAGGGGUAUUAUAGUCAUUGUGUUGGAUAAGAUUGCCACCGAAGCUUCCAUAUCCUUAUCAACUUAAUUAGCUGAGAGCUUCUCCUUUUCCCUUUAAUUUAGCUCGUGUGCAGGGUAAAGAGCUCGAGCUCGGGAGAUUUUCGUUGUCGUUUCGGAGGGCCGUUCGAGCGUGCGUGCGUCGUGGUAGCACCGUUGGAGGCCGGGCGAGCGCGUGUUUUCCUCUCCUUCUGACUUCUCGCCGUCGUUGGAUUAGCUUUGCGAGGUGGGUUAAUGAUAUGCUUACCGGAUUCUACGGAUUUCCUCCUAAGCCUAGUUGAUGUCAGCAUAUAUAUUUUUAGUCUUUGUAUAUCAUAUUGUUUAGCUCGAAUUUGUUGAUUUGCAUGCUAAUUAAAAUCUGAAUUUGGAGUAUACAGUAGUGAUUAGAUAAAUUAUACAUAUUGGACUUGAAAAUUGACUUAGUAGAAACUAUCAAUUCUACACCGUCAUUUUUUGAAACUACCAGAUUUAGCUCUAGGAGCCGUAGUUUGUUUGUAUCGUCGCAAUUUAUGGGCGGUAGAUAUCCAGAAUAGUGUAGAAUGAUUUUACGCUUGUGCUGGGAUGCCGAGAUUAAUUUUUACAGUAGUAUAUAGAUUGUUCCGGACUGUCGGGUGCCGUUGUGGUUGACGGUGGACCCAGUUUGCAGUUUUUGUAUCGGAUUGUGCCAAGGGCACGUAGAUUAUGGUUGUUAGACCAGUUAAACCUUUCUACUUUGUUUAUAGCCUGCGAGAGCCUGAAUGAACGUGGCAGAGACACUUGUAAACUCGGUUGGGUCGCGCCCACGAAUGCCAUUCCGGAAUGAGGUUUCAGUGCGAUGAGGUCGCAGUUUCUGUUUGGACAGUUCUUGAGCCGGCCACCCUCGUGGUGGUGUACAGCGUAGCUGGAUAUAGGCAGGAUAGGUCCGUUUGGGCAGCCCGGGUAAGACAGUUAGUGACGUCUUUCUCUAACUUCAGUGAGAUUGUGACGUGAGUGGAGUCACUGCCGUCCUGUCGAACCUUGGUACUUAGACCGACUACUUUUGAGCUACGGUGUAGCCUAGUUGAGCGGGACGGGUGUAUUCACAGUCCUUAGAGAGUUUUCUCCACAGGCUACUCUUGGGGUUGGUAUGCGGGUUCGCUUCGACAAGCAGGACGGGUGUGUUCACAGUCCCUAAUGAGAUUGGGUCAGGAUUUACAUUUUCUACAGAUAGUUAGUGUUGGAUCACGAUAGUAUAGUAGCAUAUAGCUGUAGAUUUGUUUCAGCUUGCUCUACUAUCCUUGCUUACCUCUGUAGACUUAGUGGGUGAGCCGUUGAGGUCGGUAGCGGUACCCACUAAGGACUACUUCUUUUUGCAGUAGUUCUUAUACCCAGUUGUGGGCCCUUUUUACAGAGCCCUCUUCUUCUGCUGCUGCUGUUGCGGAUACUAAUUGUGGAAAGAAAGUCGCGAGCUAGAUCCCUUCCCGUUUUGCUGCUGAUCUAGAGUAUGCCAACUACAGAUAGUUUUGGUUCUGGGUUCUUAUACAUACUGAUGUUAGUACCUCACCGGAGCGAGUGUUUUGUAUCAGGAUACUAUGUAUGUAUGUGGAACCGAUGUUAUUUAUAUAUGCAUUUCUUUUUAGCAGCUCUAUAUUACUGGUUGUAGUAUUGUAUGAUUACAGAUACAGGUACAACUAUCGCUUCAUAUGCAGAAAAAAUUUCUAUGUAUACGGCGGGUCUGUUAGCGUGCCCGGAAAAACGAGUAAUCCAGGGCGUGACAUCUUGUGUGCUAUUAGGAGCACGGAGGCCUCCGUACUCCCAAGCCGUUUUCAAUGAUAGAGCUUCCGAAUCGACGAUCGGCUCAGUUAAACUUGAUCUGGUAUAUUUGAACUAUCUAGAAAAUAAUUUUUGUAAUUUUUCUGUAUCAUUUUCAUAACGAUCGAAAGGGUUCAAAAUCAACAAUUUUUAAUGGUUAAUGUAUACCGUUUUCAAGUUUAACGGUGUAGAAGUAUUCAAAUCAGAUGCAAUUUUGAUAGAAAAUUCUUUAUACUAUUAACAGGAAGAUCAAUAUGUUUGAUCGAAAAUUUUAAUGUUAUAUCACCAUUUUUGUGAGAUUUUUAUUUUCAGCCGUUAGAUUUUGAACCCUUUUGAUCGUUAGGUAAAUAAUAUCGAAAAGUCACAAAAUUUAUUUUCUAAAUACCUCAAAUAUGCAUACUUCAAAUAUGCUAGAUCAAGUCUAACGGAGCCAAUUGUCGAUUCGGAAGCUCUAUCAUCGAAAACGGCUUAGGAGCACGGAGGCCUCCGUGCUCCUAAUAGCACACAAGACCUACUCUAUAUAUAUAUAUAUAUAAUUUUAUUUUAUUUUUUUGUAAAUAUAUUGUUAUAUAAUACUUUAUUUAUAAAUAUAUAAUAAUUUAUUUUGGGAACCAACAAAAAUAGUGCUUUUAUUUCAAUUAAUUUUUUAUUUUUAGAGACUUUAGGGACCAAAAAUAGUACCUAAGUUUUCUUUUGCAUAACAAUUUUGGUCACUAAAAUUUGUAAAUUUUUCACUUUAGUCCCCAAAUAUAAAAAUUCAAAAUUUUAAAUUUAAAUCCAGAAUUAAUUUUGAAAUUAAAAUUUUGAACUAAUUAAUUAGUAAUUAGAAUUUUGAAUUAUAAUUUGAAUUCAAAUUUUAAAUUGAAUUUUAAAUUGAAUCUAAAUUUUGAUUUCAAACUUAAAUUUUGUAAAUUUUGAUUUAAAACUUUAAUUUUUUUUAUUUUGAUUUUGAUAUUGUAAUUUGCAUUCAAAAUUAAAAUUUUAAUUUAAAGUAAUAUUAAUAGUUAUAAUAAUUUACUAUUGUAUUAUCUUCCCACCGUAUCGAACUUAUUAAUCGGGAACUCUUACAGGUUCGAACUGCUCUCCGCAUCCCACGAAAGGUAUGCGAUAAAUAAUAUUUAAAAAUAUUAAUGUAUAAUAGAAAAAAAAAAGGUGAUAUUAAUAGUUAUAAUAAUUUACUGUUAUAUUGUCUUUUCGUUGCAUCGCGCCCGCCGCAUUNUUCAAAAAAAAAAUCAAAUUUGACUUUAGUAAUAAAAAAAAAAAGAUUAGAGAGUGCCUGCUGCUGGAUAAGUGGCUAGUAUUGCUUUAGAUUUCAUUUUUUUGCUGAUUUGUAAUAUCUCAAUGGUUCUUCAGAUUUUUUUUAUUAAAAAUAUUUAAAUUAUUAUCAUUCAAGUCAAGUUGGAUAAUUAUAAAAUUUUUUAUUGAAGUAGUACAAUUACUGUAGAUUCUUAGGUGAUAGGAAUACUAAAUUAUUAUGGAUUAGGAGAUAUUUUAUUUUCAUAUUUGACGGAAAUUAUUAGUAGUCAAUUAAUAAGAAUACAAGUCAAGUUAGAUAAUUGUAAAGAUUUUCGUUGCAGUAGUGAAAUUAUUAUAGAUUCUUAGAUGAUAGGAAUACUAAAUUAUUAUGGAUUUGAAGAUAUUUCAUUUUCAUAUUUGAUGAAAAUCAUUAGUAGUCAAUUAAUAAGAAUAUAUAUACUAAUUUUUAACAAACUUUGGACCAAAGUGACUUAAUAAAUUAGUAACAAACUUGCUAUUUCAUGUAUAAAAUAUAUAAUACUUUUUAAAAUAAUAUAAAUUUUGAACUAAACAAACUCUAAAAAUUAGCAUCCUUACUUAAUAUUCUAUUCUAAAUAUAUUUUCACUUCGUUCUUAAAAUGCAUCUGUAUUUUAAAUGGACAGUCAAAUUGAUUCAUGCAGGCCCGAACUGCUGCUUGCACAAAACAUAGGGAUACAAACUGGGUGAAUCUUGUAACGCCCCCAAUAGUGCCACAUCGGAUGGGAUACUGAUUCCGAUAAGUUUAUAUGAGGCCUACACGUUAGUAAUAAUAACUGGGCUUAAGUAUUUUUGGGCCGGUGGUUUGGGCCCAACGAGUUAUUAUUGCUAGCCGGUCGGAUCGUUAUAAUUGGUAUCAGAGCCGAAUACCAGCCGGAAGUGUGAGAACUAAGUGCUAUGCGGGACAAAGUGAUCUGGUUUGGACCCGACGAGGACGUCAGGGUCUAAAUAGGGGAAGUUUGUAACGCCCCCAAUAGUCCCACAUCGGAUGGGAUACUGAUUCCGAUAAAUUUAUAUGAGGUCUACACGCUAGUAAUAAUAACUGGGCUUAAGUAUUUUUGGGCCGGUGGUUUGGGCCCAACGAGUUAUUUUUGCUAGCCGGUCGGGUCGUUACAAAUCUGUGGUUAGAUUGGGACAGAUUCGGGGCGUGUUAAUUUUAAUCUUAUUUUUUGUGAAUUUUUGACGAAUUGGAAGCAAAUCAAAGAAGAAAAGAAUCUUCCGCCUCCUACUCUAUUUACCUGACGAAUGAAUAUAUACAUUUUUUUUGAGAGAUAGGUAGCACGCUACCCGCUUCGUUUAUUUCAUUUAGAAAUAAACUUAGCUAGAAAUAUGAAUCAACUAGGAUUCGAACUAGAAUAUAUUUUUUAAUAUUUUUUGUUUCUAUUUACAUCUCCAUUCUAGUAGCUCCAUCAACCCGAAUCCAUUUGUAGCCGUAAGGGUCUGUUUGUUUUACCUCAAACUGGACUUUGCAUUGAAAUGGAAUUCUGUAAAAACUAUUUAUCCCCUGUUUAUUUCAUAGCUAUGGAAGUGAAGUUCCUUCAGUUCUGUUAUUUGUUUGGCAUAAAGUGAAUAAUAUAAAACUAUAAUGUAUAUAUAAAUAAUAAAUAAUUUAAUAAAUAAUAAAUUAUAAUAUAAUAAAUAAAAAUAAUAUAAUUAUUUUCCUAUAUAAUUAAAAAAAUUAAUCUAAAAGAACUAAAUUAUUUUUUAUACAUAAAGUAUAAUAAUACAAUAAUAAAAUUAUAAAGUAAAAAAAAAAUUAUAGAUACAUAGCAAAUCAAUUUUCAUCAUAUUUUAAAUGUACAAACUAAAUAAGAAAAUAAUAAAACUUAAUAAAUUAUAUUUUAAAUAUACAAACUAAAUAAAAGAGUAAUUAAUGCCAUAAUUAAAUAUACUUAAAUAUAUUGCUCAAUGUAUUAUUUUAUAUAUUUUUUUUCAUCCUUAUUUACCGCAUUCAGAUAACUUUCGAUCGUAUCUUUGAUACGGCAAAAUAAACAACGUAAAUAAUCAUUUACGGCUCGAAAUGACUUCACUAGUCUUUACUUUCAUCCAAAAGACAUGCUCUAGUGGAAGGGUAAAUUUAUACACAGUUCUUACUUGUAUCCGAACCAAACGCAACCGGCGUCAUUUUGUAUCCAAAAAAAAAAAAAAAAAAAAANGAAAAAGAAGAGGAAUCUAGUCAAAGGGCAAAUUUGUAAAUUUGCAAGGCCACAACCACACAAUCUCAUAUAUCUUUUAUUACCUCAAGCUGAGCUCACCGAUCUCUCUAUUCCCCACCCACAUCAUGUUCCUCUGUUGUGUAAAGUGGGAACUCUCUCUCUCUCCUCCACUCUCUACUCUCUCUCUCUCCUUUUUUUUUUUUUCUUUUCUUUUUUAGUAGAAGUAAUAGUACUACUGCUACUCUCUCCGCCCACAUCAUAUGUUCCAACCCUAUUUCCCAAAACAAGGUAAGCAAACCCUCUCUCCGCCCCACUGGAUCUGAUCCCCACCCUCCUCCUCUCCUCUCUCUCUCUCUCUCUCUCUCUCUCACAAAUUUUUUUUCUCUGUAACUUUGGAUCUUUCUCUCUCUCUCUAGGGUUUCUAUUUUCUCUUUGUUUUUCUUUCUUGCUUCUUCUUCUUCUUCUUGUGGUGUUGUGAUGGUAAUGGUGGUUUCCGGGCGCAGCGGUUUAUCGAUCUCUUCUUUGCCUUUGUUUCUUGUUUGUGGUUUGGAUUUUUUUUGUGGGGGUGGAGAAGAAGAAGAAGAUGAUGAUGAUGAUGAUGAUGAUGAUGAUGAAUCAGAAGAUGAUGAAUCAGGACGCGAAUGAGGAAGAGUGAGAAAAAGGAGGGUACAAAGCUGGAAUCGAUCGAUAAACCUCUGCAUCCGGCUCUCACUUUCUCUCUCCUCUCCUUUUUAGGGUUUUGGGUUUUUUUUUUCCUUUAUAUUUUUGGCUUUUUUUGGCUUUUUUUUAGUGUAUGGAGAUGCCCUUGAACUUCAUGUUUUUUUUUUUUUUUUUUUUGGUGGUUGAUGUGGAUAUUCUUUAGCUUUUGUUCGUUUUGUUUUGAUUUGAGCUAUUUUCAUUUAUCGAAUCGGGGUUUGUUAAUCUUAGUAAAUUUUGAGUUUGAAGUGUUUAAUUUAUGUGACAAAAUUUCAAUUUAAUUGACUAAAAUAACUCUAAUCAGAAUAAAGAAAAUGAAAUCUCCAUACAUGUUUUCCCCUUUUUUUUUUUCUUUUUUUUUGUUCCAGGUUCUGAUUGAUUGCUAUUUUCUUGCAUUAUUUGUUGCAUCUCACAUCUGAUCUGUGGGGAAAAAAUAGAUAUAAAUAUGUAUCAUCAGUCUUAUGGACCAAUCGUAGAUUAUACGUAUUAAGUUUUUGCUUGUUAUAUUUGAUCUUUGGUGUUUACCAAAUGAAAUAAAAAAAAAAUAAAGAUUUGUCUAAGAAUCUAGAUUUGCAAUGUCCAUGAUUGUGUGAUUAAAUAUGAAAGUUUAAAGGUUUUGAUAUGAUUUCUUUCGAAAGUGGCUUUUUAUGUAUCUAAUGAAAUUUGAGUGUAUGAGAAACACCAAUACAUCUUAUUCCCACACACACACACACAUUGUAUUGCUUAUUUCUUUUAAAUAUGUCAAAAAAAAAAAGGUUUCUUGAGUUCUAGAUAUCUGUGUUCGAAUCAUUUUAUCAAGUUUAUAAUUUGCUUAAUUCUUCUAUUUUUUUGCCUCUUUCAGUGAGUGCACAACGAAAUGUUUUAUUACAGUUGUUGUUCCUCUUUUUGUGAAGGCUCAGAUAUGUGAUAGAUGACAUACUUUAUCUGUUUCUAAUUAUAUGAUCUGAUACAUUUACUGAUUUACUAUAUAAAUACUGCUUUGUUACUUGGUUUUAACUUUUUCAUGAUCUUGCAUGUAAGUUCUUGGACAUGAUGCAAGUUCGAAAAUGUAGUAAAGUGUGUUAUAUUAUUUUUAUGCUUGCUUGCAUUUGGAAUACUUUAUUUUGCUUCUAUUUUUUUCGGUCAUAUAAAGGUGAUGAUUGGUUCGCAUGUCAAAAUUGAUUGAUUGGAAUAUAUUCUACGCUUAGUGAGUCUCAGGAUUCUAUAGGACUAGCAAUAGAAAGAAAUAUUAGAAAGAGUGUCGUGGUUGGAAUAUGUGCUAGCUUUUGAUCUUGGGAAAUAUAUAACUAAUUUGUUACGUAGUAUCAUCAGAAAGGACAGCAUGUUCAAAGAUUUGUCCUUGAGUUUUUCACUAAACGAUAAGGAGCAUACUUUUAUCCAUCUAGAGUAUGUGAUGUGUAACAUUUUAGAUUACCAAUUUCCAGUUACCAUUGGUGCUUGCCAAACGAAACUUAGGGUGCCAUUGUCCUUUCUUUUAUGUCAAACUGGUAGUAUCGCUUAAUACUAUGCCCCGGACAGAUAUGGUUCAUACUUAGGUUUUGCUUGUAAGACAAAAUUCAAGUGUAGACAUUGACAAUGAAUAUAUGAGAAUUUAAUAUAAUAUUUGAAAAGGCGCGCCCUUAGGCGCACCUGGGUGUGAGGCGAGGGCCUCAGUGCCUCAGAGAACUUGAGGCGCAAUGCCUCUCAGAGGCGCGUGCUUCAGGCAAGGUGCGAGGCGCAGUUGAGGCACGCGCCUCAUGAUGUUUAAGUUAAACGCCCUCUCGUGUUUGGGUUCUUGGAUCUCGAGCUUUGUAAAUAAAUUCUGAUCUGUUAACAGAUUUAGAAAACCCUAAAUACAACCCUUUUCUUCCCCUUUUGGCUUUUUGCGCCUCGUUCCUUUGAAAACACUGAUUAAAUAAUUGAGUUUAUUUACAUAAAAUUUGUUUGUGCAUGAUCAUUAACAGACACAAGCUUAUAAGAUACAAUAGUUUAUGACUUUGUAUAUGUACAACAAUCAAUUGAUAGAUUCGCUGUCAUUAAAAACUAAUUGCACCUGUUUUGGAAAUGUUCUAUUUUAGUUCCUUCAGCAGUAUCUACCAGGUUAGUAAGAAGGUUGUGCGCCGUAGUUUCAUAAAGUAUUAUGAUGGAGCCUUCUUGAAUGUGCUUAUUAACCAAACUUACAAUUGAUGAGAGAUGGCUCCAUGGAUACUGAUAAUGAUGUAUCUCUAUAUGAAACUAUGAGUAGGAUAUGUACAUAAGCGUAGCAAUACAUACAUAUUUGAUUUCUAAGGGACUUUUUGGUAAGGCAGUUUGAUAAAGCGUGCAUUAGUAUCUGUUUGAAUGAUUUUUACAUAGUAUGGAGUUUGAAUGCCUUAACUAAGUUAGGCUUCUGAAAACAUGGUUAUACUUGUCUUACAAAAUGUGUUAGGGUUAGCAGUUAUUUCUUGAAAUCACAAUAUGGUAAAAUGUAAAAUGCAACAUAUAAAAUUUAAAAUGAAAAAUAUUAGUAAAUUGAGGACAUUUGAUUUGGUAUGUAUGCAUGUAAAUAUAUAUGUACGCAUACAUACUUGAGUUGGUUAUUUUUCCCUAAAUUGCCUAUGGUCAAUCGAUUCACCUUUCGCAUUUAGAAGAGGAAACUAUGAAGGCUAUGGCAAUGUGGAAGAAUGCAAUCAUGAAUCCUAUUUGAGAGCUUAUAGGAUUCGCAAUUGAUGUAAUGAUGUGGUAGGCCCACAAUAUCUUAUAACACCUCACUUUCCUAUCUAGAUUGGCUAAAGAUAUGUAAUGGUGUUGAAAGGCUCGGGUGGCCUGCAAGAUGGUCUUUCAGGGGGCGGCUAGGGGCCGUGCUACCCUAUGCCCAGUCAUCCUAUGGCUUGGCAAGGCAGGUCGUGCCAUGCCAUUGGGAUAGCUUCUCACCCCGCACGACUUUCUUAUGUUUUUUCUUUUUAUAAAUAUAAUUAAAAAUGUUUUUUAAAAAAUUAUUUACAAUAUUUUGAAUAAGCAAAAUAUAUUUUAUAAUACUAUAUUAAGAAAAUUAAAAGUAAAAUUCAAAAAUUCAAAAGAUUUUGAAAAUUUUAAGAAAAAUAAAAAGACCGGCCUUCUUGGGCUAUGAACUAUUUCUACCCUCUUCCUUUGGAAUUUGGUCCUUAGACUAGGUGUGGUCCAGUUUGAUUCAGUGACUAAGUUCUAAGCAAGGAUUUAAGUGCCGUGGCACGGGGCCGUGCUGGAAACUUGCCGGCACUGUACGGCACGGUGCGUGCCGAGCCGUGCCGAUGCUUGGCGGUCAAAAAAAUUCUUGUGUGCCGACACAUAAUAGCAUGAAAUAUUUAUUUUCUUUAGCAACAAAAUAUUCUAAAUAUUUAUUAUGUCUUUUUAUCACAUCUUUUGAACUUUAUUGAGAAAAUUACUUACUAAUUUAAAAAAUAGAGGGUUUUGAGCUGUGCCUUCGGUACGGGGUCUGUAUCGUGCCGGUAUCUUGUUAGCACGGUACGGUAUGGUGGAUACGGCCCGUGCUGACGGGCACUUAAAACCUUGGUUCUAAGGAAAGGGAAUGGAGAUGGUCCAAAUUAUAGGGGCGGGCCAACUCUCUGUUAUCCAAAAAAAAGAAAAAUGAAACUUGAACUCUGGGCCAAAAUACCCUUUUUAGACUUUUUUUGACUACGGGUAUUUUGGUCCUUUUAUUUUAUUUCAAAGUAUUAUAAGGUUCCAAAAAAAUGAAAAAUAAUUGAAAUAUUAAGGGUUGGCACAAGGUUCGGGGCGGCCUGGCAUUGCCUAGCCAAUGCUGUCCGGAUUGGGGGUCAUGCUUGGUUGUAAGUUCGAGAAAUCCGGCUCGGUACUAGAAAGACUAGAUUCGGGGUCUGUCUAUUUCAGGUCCACCCUUGGCCCAUUUUGGCCACAAUCCUAAAGAUAUGUGAGGCAAUUUUUAGAGGAAAAAAUUGACUUGACAAUAGUUGGGCAAAUAUGCAUAUGCUAUAGAAUUUAUAUUGAUCUUGUUUAGGCACGUGUCCACCUAAACCCAGCUUAGCUCCACCAUUGUCUAUGUAGAAGUAUAAAUUAAUGGUGUAAUAUGCAUACGGAUGCAUGUUGUAAUACCGUGCGCACAAAAAUCUUGUGCACGGGGCGAUCCCGCUGCCCCUCUGAGGCGUGAUGCAUGUGGGCCAUUUGAUGCAAUAGCCUAGAUGUGUUCCACCCACAUUGAAUGGCCUAGAUGCGUCCCGCCUCAGAUGGACGGUGCGAUUGCCUUGUGCACAGGAUUUUCGUGCGCACGGGGUUGCAGGGAAAUCGAAUCGGAUGCAUAGGUGGUACAAGAUCGAGUAAAAGACAGCUAAACGAGAUGUUAGAGAGAUAGCUUUUAAAAGUGUUAUAUAAUCCUUUAUAGAGAAGAAAAUAAGGCUUCUACGAGAAUGUGGAAUAUCUUGAAGUCAAGAUUUUAGCUUCACUGAGACAACUACAAUUGUUUGAUCAACCAGUUCAAUUCUUUCCUAGACAAAGGAGGAGCGGAGGUUGUUGGACAUGAUGAAGGUCCUAAAAACGUCACACCAAAUUGAUAAGGUAGGAAGUUUAGAGUAUGUUAGCAUGUUUAACUAGGGAAUAUCUGAAUUUGUUACAAAUUAUAAUUUGCUCAUAGCCAAAAGUUGUCCUUGUUUGUAUUUUAUUUUGAAAUUGUCUUUUUUCUGAAAGACUGUCCUUUGUGAUGGGUUAGUCUUUAGCGAGUAAAUAGUAUGUAUGUUAAGUGAAAGGAUGCUUAGUAUAAAGGGUGUUUUAGUAUAUGUGACCUCCGAGUGGUAGUAGAAAACGAGUGGUCAAAGAAGGUAGGUCAAAAGUCAUUAUACCUCUUGUGUUAGUGUAAUUUUUCCUUCACAGAAAUUCGUGGUGUUAAAUUGAUUAUCCAAUUGUUACCUUGUAUGAUUUAAUUUGUUUUAUUCCAUUUCCUUUGUAUUAUAGGUGCUCGGAUGCCCUGAGGAUAAGUCCAAAAUUGGUCCUUGAUCAGAGGACUAUUAAUACCAUGGUCCUGUGGAACAAAAGAAAUAAAAGUACUGGACCGAAAUUCGAUAUACUGCAUUACUGCCAUAAUAUUAGAAAAGCUCAGCUACUUCUAUUCCAUGCCGCCAUGAUAUUGAAUUUCGCUCAGCCACUUUUAUUUCUUUCUUUCUAUAGUAGAAGUUUUGCAUGAUACUUUGAAUCAUCAUCUUUUCUUGUCUUGUAUAUCCCACAUUAGACAGAACUCUUAGAGUUGAUUCUCGUAGGAAAUGACGACUGCCUCUUUUUUUUUUUUCAGCCAUCUCACACAAAAUAACUUAUAGUCAUUUUUCCAUUUGAUGCUGAUCCCCUGGUGGCACAGGACUUAUGCACAUAGGGUUCAAUAAUGGAGGACAAUUUUCUUUGCACCCAAAAUUAGCGCUCCGUCGACAAAACCACACACCCUUCUAAGAAUUAAAACCCCAAGCUUUCCUUUUUCUCAUUUUCAUGUCCUGACACUCACAAAGGGCACACCUUCCACAUGCUUAAGGUAAUUUACCUCUACAUUUUCUUCAGCAGUUCUCUCUUUAAUACACAUUAUUAUUAUCAUCAUGUUGAAACAAAAUGAAGAAACUUAUUUAUAGAAUGUUAGACUGAAUUCAUUUAGUAACUAGCUAAUAUAAUUUUCCUUCCUUUACGCAGGCUACUUUAGCGAUUAAAGCAUACUGAGAGGUUUUUGGUCAAUUGACCUGAACUCGAGAACAAUUUUAAACAUGGAGCCAAAACCGAAAGAUCUCAAUGAUUUCCUUGAAUCAUCGGUGCUUUUAGAGGAAGCACAAUAUCAAGAAGGUUUCAGAGAUGGGUGUAACGACGGCUUGGUCUCAGGGAAGGAGGAGGGAAGAGAGGUGGGUUUAAAGAUGGGUUUCCAGGUAGGGGAGGAACUGGGUUUUUAUCGGGGCUGUGUCGAUGUAUUGAACUCAGUUAUCCAGAUUGAUCCGUCAGCAUUUUCAUCUCGGGUUAGAAAGAACAUCGAGCAAUUAGGGGCGUUAGUAAAUGGUUACCCGCUUUUAGAGCCAGAAAAUGAGCGAGUCCAAGAGAUCAUGGAGAAUAUGAGGCUAAAAUUCAGGGUUGUGUCUGCAAAUUUAGGAGUAAGAUUGGAGCAUGAAGGGUAUCGCUCGUCAUCUGGAAAGGAAGUGGAGGAUUUGUAGUACCUUGUAUCUACAGUUUGAUGGACUUGUUGCUAACCAUUCCGUAAACCUCUGCGAGAGGAGAUAUUAUUGCCCGGACAUGAUCCCUCGUGCACCACGACAUCUAUGAAGUGCAAGAAGCCGCUGCCUAUGGCAAUACAGCUGUAUGGAGGGUGAAGUGGUAUUGUGUUUGGUAAAGCUGUUUUAACUUUAAUGGAUUGGAUAAGAAUGAGGAACUUAUCUAAAUAGUGUGUAGCAAGACUUUUGCUAGUUGGCUAUCAUGUCAAAGGCUUUUUAAAGCAUUUUUUUAUGAUUGCUAAGCAUUAUUUUCUCGUAAUUUCCUAAUAUUCACAUAAUCAUAAUUUUCUACUGCCCUUGGAAAUUCGGUUGGCCACUUUAUUAUGGAACAGAGCUCUUGUGAGGUUUUAUAUUCAAAGUAGUGAUUCUUUUUAACUUUACCUCUUGUACUCUUGUUUUACUGGGAAAAGGGCAAGGAGCAGCCCUUUGUUGUGACAAUGAAAGCAAUUAGUUUCUGGAAAUUUGAUUUUACAGUUGCCUUCCAUAUUUUCCCUGGAAAUUGGCUAAACAGUUACUUUUGGCAUGUUUCAAUACCAAUUGCUGAUCUGUUAUUGAUUGUUACUAUAUUGAACACGGAUGUGUUCACUGAAAGAUUAAAAUGUUCUUCGCUUCCUUCUAACAAUGAAAUCAUGAUGUAAUGCUCGAGUGUUCUAUACAAAUCUGGGUUUUGUUAGCCCUUAUUAAACAGAGUUUCUGUCAAUGACCGUCCAAAUAGAAAUUGAAGAACCUGGGUUUGUAUCAAUCUCUUGACACAGUAGUAUCAAAUUAUGAAAGCAGUGAUUGGCUGUUAUAAAUUAGCUCUUUUCUUCGUUGCAAUUUAUGUUUCCGCAUAUUCUCUUAACUGUUACUGAAUGUUUGAAGCAGAGCUAUGUUGUAAUAGUCAUGCAGAUGUGAUUGCAUGUGUUCGUAUUCUUGAGUCUUGUUCUAUCUGUGCAGUUUAUCUUGUUUGUAGGUCUUUGGCAAAGAUUUAGCUCUCAUUACACGCACUCAUACUUGGCUUACAGAAGAUGAUUUGCGGUAGUUUACAUUGUUUGUGAUUUGCUGCUGCGGUUAUUGUUGCUGUUGUUUGUUUGUACAAAGUCUGUUUUUCUCUGAUUGUGCAGUGAUAGUAAUCUACAAAAAGUAGUCUUCAGUGGGUACCUCUAUCGACCUCAACGGUUCACGCACUAAAUCUAUAGAAGGUAUGUUUAAUGAUAGUAAAUAAACUGGAAACAAUCUACAGUUAUAUGCCACUAUGCUAUCAUGAUCCAACACUACUAUCUGUAAAAUAAUACAAUUUCUGAUUUAAUCUUACUAGGGACUGUGAAUAUAACCAUCCCAGGGACUGAAUAUAUCCGUCCCGCCUGUCGAAGCUAUACAGCUAUCUCCACGCUAAGCCGCCUGUGGAGAGCAAGUCUAAUUAGGACACAACUAAACCAACGCAACUGCACUAAGCUCGACUCCGGAGUGGCAUUCGUGGGCGCUAUCUAACCGAGUAUGCAAGCGUAUCUCUGUCGAGCUCAAUCAGACUCUUACAGGCUAUAGUCAAGUAAAUAGGGUCUAGCAACUAAACUAACGUGCUCUCGGCACAAUUUGAUGCAAAAACAGCAAUCUGGGUCCACCGUCAACCUCAACGGUAUCCGACAGUCCGAAAUAGCCUAAAGACUGCUAUAAAAAUAAGCUCGGCAUCUCAGCACGAGCGUAAAUGCAUUCUACACUAUCCUGGGUAUUUACCGCCUACAAACUGCGGCGAUACAAAUAAACUACGGCUUUUAGAGCUAUAUCUGGUAGUUUUAACAUAUGACGGUAUAGAAUCGCUAGUUUUCUCCUAAGUCAAUUCCAAGUCUAAUAUGUAUAAUUUAGCUAACAUCCUGAGCUUCAAUUUAGAUUUCAAAUCAUGCAUAUCAUAGAAUUAAGCUACUAAACAUGAUGAAACAAGCUAAACACAUGUUGUCCAACAUAGGCUUAGGAGGAAAUCCGUGUAUUUCGGUAACUUAACAUUCAACCCACCUCAACACGACUCAACGACAGCCCGCACUGCUGGAAACUCUGUCGAGGCCAACCAAGAUCACUCCGAACUAGCAACAAAACUAUUUUAAGGAUCUAAAUACCAAAAAUACCAAAAAUUACAUUAAAACCCUCAAAUUUCAGUACUUAAGCCAAUUCCUCAAAUUCUAAUAUCAAAACUCACCUAUCAAGGUUCAAAUCCACAAUUUAGGUGAGGAACACUCUCAAAAUCAAUAAUGAAAGGCGGAGUAAUCUUCCCUGGUCGAAAUUCUAGCUCCUUCAAAGAAUUGCUCCAAGAAAAUAAAAACAAACACAAUUUCAGCCCCAAAACCACCAGCAGUAGAAAAGAACGCGAAAUUGACUAAGCUAACCUCAAUCAAAAUCUGUCAAAAUGGGCUCCACGAAAUCUUUAGGAAGUCUUCUAACCAACAAACCAAAUUUCGUGGCAAUCGGAACUUUCUACGUCGCACACGAGCAAAAACGCAAAGGUCGCUGCUGGAAUUCUGCUAAAACUGUAGUCUACAAGGUGGAAUAUGCAAACUGGAGGAUUUGGAGGGGUUGAAAUGCAAAUGGAGGCUUCACUGUGAAGAAGAGGUGAAAAGGGUUCACAGGGGUCGCACUCCACCUAUUUAUAGGGAGGAGAAAUGGUUAGAUAAACCCUAGGAACAAAGAACACAAAUCUGCUGUUCUUGCAGAAACGGGCGAUUUCGGGCGCUCGAAACCCUAUUCUGGGCGUCCGAAACCUCUAGGCCAUACAAAGCUCCCGCUUCGGUUCCUCCGCCUGCGGUCUGCUGCACCUUUAACCUGGUCCGGCGGGACUCACCUACCACAUACACGUGUCAGCACAAUCGAUAUUCCCAAAGUGAACUUUCGGACCCUCUUCUAGGCGCCCGAAAUCUAGGAUCCGAAUUGGCUUUCAGUUUCAGUUAAUUUCAGCACUCGGUUCUGGACGACCCAAACCUAUUAUGGGUGCCCGAAACUGGCAAAACUGCAGUUUUGCUUACUUGAAUGCGCCAAGUCUAUUUCUGUAUCCAUUUCGUGCAGAAACGACUUCGACUCAGUCCGACACUCUUCAGAUGUGCCGACCAGUCACUAAUACUGUAGCCAAUUCUAUCCAAAACUUCGGAACACUUCAUAUUUAAUAGUAUUUGUUGUGAAUUCAAAUUUAAAUUGUUUAAUUAAAUUUAUUUUAAAUUCAAAAAAUUAUAAAUUGUAAUUAUAAUUGACCGUUAAGUUUACGAUUUGAAUUUUAGUUCAUUAUUCAAAUUUAGAUUCAAAUUUAUGUUGUAAAAUAAAGCUCUAUAUUCAAUUGUGUACUUAAAUUUAAAUUAUUUUUUGAAUUCUAAUUUUGGUUUCGUUGAAUAAACUAUUGAAAAUACUUUGAAUUAAAAAAAAUUAAGCUCUUUAAAUUCACAAUUAAAAAAUUAAGUUCAAAGUUAUAAAUUUACAAUUUGAAUAUUAAAUUUUAAUUUACAUUAUAAUUUUCAGGACAAUAAGCACUUUCAAACAGUCUUAUAAAUAAAAUUUUUUAGUUAACAACAUAUCUAAUAAAUUAAUAUUAAAUGAUCAAAAUAUAUUUUUAAAUCUUUAAUUUUAAUAUUUUAAUUUGGCAUAUUAUAUUAAAUUGUAAAUUUAAAUAUGAGCUUAAUUUUGAAUUCAGAUAACUUCGAAUGAUUCAACUUAAUGUAAAUGAAGUUUGAAUUAAAAAAAAAAACUUUAAUUUAGAUAUACAAUUUUGAUACACAAUUGAAGUUUAGAAUAGAAAUUCAAGUUUUAAUUAAAGAUUAAAGUUAUAGUUCAAAAUUUUAAAUUAAUAUAGUUAAUUAGUUUUAAUAAUUUUUCCUGACCUUUUUGUAUGAAGGGUAUUUUAGUAAGUUACAUUUAACCAUUAAUAAAUAUCUCUAAAACUUUUCAUAUACCCUCUUGAUAAUUAUAACUUUUAAUAUUAAAUUAAAUACAAAUAAAAAUUAAAUUUUUAUGACCAUUGGCAUGCUAUUUUAAUAAAUGUAUUUAUUCUAAUAUUAGAUGAAUUUCAGGUUGUUCAAAUCAAAGUAAAUAAAAUUUGAAUUAAAAAAUAAAACUUAAAUUUAGAUUAAUAAUUUUGAUGGACAAUUAAGAUUUAGAAUAGAAAUUCAAAAUUUAAUUCAAAGAUUAAAAUUAUUGCUCAAAUUUAAAAUUAUUAUACUUAAUUAAUUUUAAUAAAUUUUUCUCAUCCUUUUGUGUGAAUGGUAUUUUAGUAAGUACAUAUACCUAUUAAUAAAUGUUUCUAAAACUUUUCACAUACCAUCGUAAUAAAUAUAACUUUUAAUAUUAAAUUAAAUACUUAUAAAAAUUAAUUUUUUUUUAUUCUUAAUGAAAAUACGAGUUCAAAUAUUGAAUAAAUAUAUUACUAAAUUUAAAAUUUUAAUACUCUAAUUGAAAUUUUAUAUCCAAACCGUAAAUCUAAAUUAUAUUGUUUAAAUAAUUUGAUUUGUAAAAUAAAUAUACUUAAUAAAUUAUAAAUAUUUUAUUGUUUAAGUUAACUAGUAAUUGUAAAUGGCAGUUCCCCAGUACAUUAUGGUACUCAUUUAAAUCUGAUGUUGUUGUAUCUUUUCCUGUUUUGUUGCUUCUCAAAAAAGCCACCGCAAAUGGAUCGGUCCUAAGCAAGUCAAAAUCGGCUUUCACAUCGCCGAGGAUGUGAUUGGAUUGAUAAGAACGUCAUGAUCUAAACAGAAAAAGUUUAUGACAUUUCAAUACUCCCGCAUCUUAUAACAACGGGAUGAGUAGGUAACAUUCCAAAAAUUUCAUAUGUUAUGAAAAUGGAAUUGUAAUUAGAAAUAUAAGUGAUCAUGGACUCCAGUCUAGUAAUGAUAAUUCAGUUUUAAUAUUUUCGAUUGAUGGUUUGAGCUCAACGAGUUAUUAUUACUGGUGGAUCGGAUCGUUAAAAAUACCAUACUAAAAAGAUCUUUAUGAUGCAGUGUUGCUGUUGUAAUAAGCAAAGAUUUAAGGGCCCAUCCACAUAGGGCUUGACUAGAGAUGUCAAAGGAUCGAAUUCGGGACGGAUUUUUAAAAAUCCGAACCUGAACCCGAACCGGACUCAAAACUCGAGACCCGAACUCGAACUUGACGGAUUUUAAAAAUCCAUAUCCAAACCCGAACACAACUAAAAAUUUGAAACCCGAAUCCGAACCCGAAAAUUCGAACCCGGAACAAUUAAUUCUUUUUUCAAUAUUUCAAAAUAUAUUACAUUAAAUCUAAAUUUUUAAAAUACAAAUUCAAAUAUAACAUCAAAUUUUUAUAUAUAUAUUAUAUAUAAUGCAAAAUAAAUUCGGUUUCAGGUUCGGGUCGGGUACAGUCAAAAUUCAUAUCCGAAUCUAUAUCCAUCGGAUUUUUAUUUUUAAUAUCCAUAUUCAAAUCCAUAUCCGUUUAGCAUUGAAUAUAUCCGCUCUAUUCGGGUUCGGAUAAAAUUUCUAAUAUCUCUACCCAUCGACAUCCCUAGGCCUGACUACUAUAUUAGAUCGUAUCAAUCAGAUAUUAGCACGAUAAAAAAUUAUAACACAACUCCCAUGAUGUUGACACAGUUAAAUAUCCCCUUUUUUUGUUAAGCCAGUAAGUAAUUACACUAAUAGAACACAAAAAAAUUAAUAAAAUAUAAAUAUUAACAGCAAUUAGGCUAUUUUGGUAUUAAAAAAGUAAAUAAAUAUUUUGUAAAAAUAUAUUUUGUCAAUAGUUUACAUCAGCAUCGAGCAACGCACACGAUGUCGUACUAAACUAGGAAGUGUUUGACAAUGUCUUCUGUCACGGCACUCAAAUCCUUGAUAGUAAGCGUUGGUCGAUCACAUUUUUUUUGCUACCCAUUCAAAAGAAUCUAAGAAAUUCAUGAUGCUGAGUAUACUACAGAAAGCUUAUAUUCGCUGCGCCGGUAUUCCACUAUAUACAAAGAUGACUGAAACCAACAUUAAAGACUGCAUAGCAAUCUUCAUUUCGCGAAGACAAAGCCCAAAAUGUUAACCCGACAAGAGUCUUCAGCCAAGUAGACGCCUCAAUUGAUCGAACAACUGCGAUAAAUACAAACAUCGAGCGAAAACCACAACUGAGUCAAUUUAGAAGGAAUCGGUACAUAUUUCAUACCCCGAGAAGCUAAUGACUCCUAUCAUACGUUAAAAGGGUACCCAAAAAGCCACCCAACUACUGGAAUGUGAUAGAGAAAAGCCGUGAUCGAAGGCCCGAAGCCGCUGCUUGAGAGAAAACUCAUAUAAGGAAUAAGUUAAGAUGAUGGUAACCAACAAAGCAUGCAUGUUGAUGAAGAGAAUAAUAACCUGAAGAGAACUAUCGAACCAUAGAUUUCGAUUAUGAUGCCGAGUAUAGGCCAACGCACGAAUAUGAGAAAGAGUCCAGCAAGGAAAGGAAGAGAGCCCUGCGGCAAAAUAAGAAUCACAUCCAUAAAUCCAUUAUAAAAGGUAACUAGACGGUUUAACAGAAAAACGCAAAAAUUCUCUCUCACAAUAGCAAAUAAGCAGGAGUUUCUAUAUGGUUGAAUGGUAUAUAUGUUAUUUGUUUUUCGCUUUUAACACAAUAAUCCUUGGGCAUUUAGGGGGUACAAAGUAUAAAUGAAAUUAAGUGCAAUUAACUAUACAGAACAAUUUGUGGAAAAGUGUGCAAUUAACUAUACAAAGUACAAAUGAAAUUAAGUGCAUGCAUGCAAAAGGCUUCUUGGCCGUAUGAUGCACCAAAGAGGACAGUAAGACGAUGAUGAGCCGCUCAAAAAUAGCCCAAAAGAUCAAAUUUAAUGGCAACAGAUGGUGUUAUCUAAUAGUUACUUUCAUAAAGGGAAAAGAAAUAAAAGCGCAAAGAAGGAGAAAGACACAGGAAAUUUAUUAAUGUACAAAAUUAGUUUUUACUGCUGUUGAUGAUAUUGCACAAAGUAUUGAUUGAUAGUCGUAACUGCGAAAUAAUAAUGGGAGACAAAAUAGUGGUAUUCUCCAUUUAUUUUAAAGCUUUAUACUCCCAAGUGUACCUUAAGAUUUGCUUUCUUUGUGAAAAGCUGUAACAUAGAUCGCCACCCAAGCAAAAGGCCUACUCCUGACAAGAAAAAUAUCUAACACGAGAAAUAAUGGUUAUAGUUGAAUUCCCAAAAAAUGACUUCAUUACAAAAAAAAUACAAGAAGAAAAAAAAAAAGAAUAGGUGAGAAAAGGAUUCAAUAUCUUACAUUACCAAGAGCCAGCAAUCCCCUGUCAAAGAAGAGAAUAACAGCUAGGAACGAGAAUAGGAUUCCAAAUCCUAUUAAUCCUAUGCCAAUUUCUGCAUCAAAUACCAUGACCCUCACCAAAGUUUAGAGAUUCAACUUCAGAAACAAAUUAUUUGAACUUAAAAAUGUAAUAAGGAGCAAAAAUGCAAAAAUGAAAAAGAAAUUUUGGAAGGGAUUUGGGGACUCUCAAAAAACAAAAGAUAGAAAGAAGGAUAAUAGGAAGAUUAUCAUUUCUCUGAUGCUAUAGCAGUUUUUCUUCGAGUAUAAGCCCAUCACUGCGAGAGUUAGAAUUAUGAGAACAAACAGAGAUAGAUUUCAACAACAACAGUAAUUUCAUCUAUACUUAAUUUGAUUGAAAAUAUGCCUUUAGAAGGUAAAAAAGCCCAUAUUUACCACCAUAUAUUUUUUUUUGAGAACCAAGUGAGUUCUACCAAAUACUUGCAGCUGACAUCACUUCCUUUGUUACAUGCAUUUUGCCUAGUAUACUGAGCUGUAGAAACCAACUUCUGAAAAGGACUUCCUAGUUACUUUAUCUUUCAGAGUAUAGAAAUCACAUUAUCCUCAACUGUAAGCUAGCUCAAUAAUCAAAAGACCACCAUAAUUUACAGAACUUACACCAAAGAACAUUAAAAGUUAUAAAUAAGUUAUGAGAAAAAAGCUAUAGAAAAAAGGAAAGCGGUUCUUUCUAACAAAAUGCAUACGAAUGCUCACCAAAAACACAUAUUAUUAGAGCAUAAAAAAAAUUCGAUCCAUUAGUGGAAAUUUAGUUUAUCAAUCAAUAUAUAGGAAGACUAAAUAUGUUGAUAUCAAAUAAAUGGUUGAACCCAAUGGACACUCUAUAUUUAGUUCAUAUCAUCAAACAAAGUGUAUCAAUCCACGAAAGAAAAUAGUUCCAAGAGGGACAAAAGAAGCAAGUAUGGUCAGUAAGACGACACAUAUACAUAUAUCUGCGAAAUCAUCAAUUUACACAUAUAUCCACUCAGAAACGUAGAAUUUAUAGAAAUAGACUAACUUUAAGUUGCGAACUAACCCAAUUUAGCAGUUGAAGUUGGUCGUGUAUAAGAGUGGGAUUUUUAGAAGUACAACAGUAUAUAUGUAAGAAUUAAGUUUCUCAAUGAUAUAUGCAAAUAUUCAGAUUUUGUGGGGAUAUAUCUACAGAGGAAUAUAUGCAUUUAUAUCACACUUAUAAAAGUAGAGACCGAAACUCAUGUUACUUACAAAGUGGCAACGUAAAUGUGUGGAAGAAUAUAACUACAGGUUACAACAUCUCUGAGAGACAAAAAGCAAAAAAAAGCAAGCUAACAAGCUUUACAUGACGCACUUGAAUGGAAACAAGUAUGCAUGAUGAAAAAGAAUUGCAAAGUCGAGCAGAUGGAUUUUGUCAGAGCUUUCUUAGGAAAUAAUAGAAAAGGACAAAACAGCAAAAUUCUUUAGAGAAUGAGCUAAUUUAAAUUCAGGAUAUGUUAAACUAAGCAAUAUGUAGAAUUUCUUAAACCGAGCAAAGUAAGCAAAGAACUUCACUUUUGAUUUCACUAAUCUCGUAGGACAUCGUGCAGCCAACUGUAUCGAGCUUAUAAAAACAGACCUGGCUACUUCACCUAUAUGGUCCUGCAAUAGUGUUCAAGCAUGAAGGUUCGAUAAAUUUAGGUGAAAUCAAUGAGAAAGAAUAAGAGGAAAGCAGUGAUUCUAGGUGAGAAACAAUAAUUUUGCAUUAGCCUCGUAUAUAAGUUGUGAUUCAUAACAAUGUUAUGAAAAGACUAUAUGCUUACGAUACAGGAAAACAGCCAGCGAAACUCCAGCCUAAAACUAUAUGAGAAGAUUGUAACGCAAAAGGCACAAAAUGGGAGCCGCGUUUGGCAGCUGAGCAAAAUUCAGCACAAAACUAUGACCAACAAAAUACACUAUAUGAGAUUCCAAAUGGUUAUUAGAUUAAGCUCAUGCUCUACAUGUCAUGCAACACGAUACCUGCGAUAACCCAAAAAAGAAAGGCACGAUAAAUGCCACUUCAACCUCUAUGCAUCUGUCUAUAAUUUUGAUAUCCUGAACCAUAAUUUUAACUAAAAAACACAACAAACUAUCAGGACAAACAACUAGGAGGAAGAUUCUUAUCAGGUAUCGGUUCCUGCAUUCUCCUAAUUCAGAUCUUUUUGCUUAAAAUCUUAGCUGGGCAAUAGCUUACAAAGAGAUUUAUUGCGAAGACGCGGAGCUUGAUUUUUGCUACUUGAAAGGUCCUGAUACCCAUGAUUCGGCAGGAUACCAUAUCUCAUCUACGAAAACGGUUUAUCUUAUUCCGAAAAAUGACACGAAGGUCGAAUGCGGUAUCCAUUCUAGGCAUCUGAUCAACACUUCAUCUACCAAAUACUACAUAGUAUUUUUUAACCAAAUCAAACAGAUUUACCAAAUAAGAUGGUCGUGCAUCCAAACAGGGCCUAAAUUGUGCAACAGAAGAUGCCAAAUUGCUCUCCCAAUUCUUCCACAAAUCCUCGAAGCUGAUAAUACUACCAGUUCAAAUCAAUGUUCGACUUUUGAAUCUACAGCACCCAAGAAAAAACAAGAUCUCAACUUUUGAGGACUAGGGCUUCUUUCUGCAUCAGAAUCACCAGCGCCAAAUCGCAGCUUCUGCUUUCGAGGCUCAAAAUCUAAUCGAAGAUCUAAGAUCGCGUAGGGAUCAAGAACAGUUCCCCAAAUCGUUUGCUACAUUCGGUUUGUUGUGAUUAUGGUAAAAACCGUACCUUUCCGCGGCGGCGAGAAGCGCUUUUGGAAUGGGGUUUUCGCCACUGCGGAGGAGUUUUUGCUUCAUCGUAUCUUCAUUCUCCUCUGCUUCUUCUGCUUUUUUGGGAAGGCUCGGCUCGGCUCGGCUGGGAUCGGCCCGGCCGUGACGGAUCGGAUCCUGAUAGUAGGGGUGGAAAUGAGCCGAGCUCGAGCGAGCUUACCUCGGCUCAAAUUCGGCUUGAAAUUAAUUUCGAGCCUAAAUUUAAGCUCAAGCUUGAAUUGAAAUUAAUUCGAGCCGAGCUCGAGCGAGCCUAAUUUCGAGUCGAGUCGAGUGAGCUCGAGCCCUAAACAAGCCGCUUGAAAUUCUCAACAUCAUAUGAUUAAUAGUUUAAUUUGUAUAGAACAUUAUCUAUAAUUUAAUACAAACAUAUGUGUAAUAAUUCAAAGUACAAAAUAAUUAUAUGAAAUAUAGUAUUAUAAUAUGAAGAAAAAUAAUUUAUGAGUUGAUAUCUAAUUUUUUCAGCCCCACAUGUCUUCUCUUCCGCCUUCAAUCUCCAUAUUAUUCAUUUUCAUUUAUGCGGUCAAAAAUAAAUAAAUUAUAUAGAUAAAUAUUGGAUUAAACUACCCAAUCAUCUAUAACUAAAAUUAAAAUUUUAUAUGAAUAAUAAUUUUUUAUUUUAAAAAUAUUCUGUAUAUUUUCUCAAGCAUAUAAUUAAUAGUAAGGUAGGCAACAGCGGGUAUAUGCUGUUACUUGGUAACUUGGAGGGCUUCCGGCUUGGCCACUUAGGAUGAGAGACAGAAAAAGAGAAAGAGAAACAUAUUAAAAAUUUAGAGCUCUGUGAAAGAAAAAAAAAAAAGAAAAAGAAAAAUGUAUAAAUUUAGUAAAAUUUUGCUCUUUUAUUUGUCUAUUGGGUUUGUUUUUAUGGGCCAACAAUAUUGGCNUUUUAAUUAUAUAUUAAUUAUAUAUAGGCUGAGUGAAUAAUCUCAAUUUAGUAAAAUUUUGCUCUUGUAUUUGUCUAUUGGGUUUAUUUUUAUGGGCCAACAAUAUUGGCCCAAUUUUACUAUAUUGAGAUUAUUCACUCAGCCUAUAUAUAAUUAAUAUAUAAUUAAAAUAUAUUAUAUUUAUAUAUAUUUUUAAUAUAUAUAUAUAGUGUAGAACUAUUAUGCUAUCGAAAAUAUAGAGGAUUUGAUGUUUUCGAAUUUUUGACCCUUUGAUUAAGAAUUGUUUGGUUGGGAUGACUGCGGUCCCCCUAGGAUUAAAUAAUAUUCUUAGGAUUGAGUGGUCCCUACAAGAUAAUAAUAGUAUUAAUCCAAAGAUAAGAAAUGAUUAAAGGGGUUGAUCUAAGAAUCAAAAAAUCGAAAGCAUCAUAUCCUCUAUACUUUCGAUAGCAUAGUAGCUCUACUAUAUAUAUAUGUAUUCGAGCUUUUCGAGCUUUUCGAGCUUUUCGAGCCUAAUUCGAGCGAGCCGAGUAAUACUCAAGCUCGGCUUGAAAUGAAUUCCAAGUCUUUUUUUUUGUUCAAGCUCGGCUCAUUUAAUUUCGAGUCAAGCUCGAGCGAGCCAAAUAUCGAGUCGAACACGAGUCGAACGCGAGCCGGCUCGCUCAUUUGCCAGCCAUACCUGAUAGAACCGAAAAUGGAGGGAUGCAAAUGGAUCGGAGUUGGUGGAGCUCCUGCUCCGAUCCGCCCUUGAUGGGGCAGUAAAGUAGAGGUAAAAAAUUAAAAAAAAGGGUAAACUUCAUGUACCAUAACUGUAGUUUCGCACUUUCUCACUUUAGUACCUUUUGAUUUAAAGUGUACUAAUUUAGUAUCAUAUGGUUUCAUUUUUCUCUUUUCGUCAGCCCUUCCGUUAACUUUUCGAUAAAAUCAUAGACAAAAAACUUCAGAUACCUCACCUGUAGUUUAUCGAAUAUUUACUUUAUUACCUUUUAGUUUUAAUUUUGUCAUUGAUUUAACGAAAAAAAUUAGCGAAAGAGGAUAAUAAAAAGAGAAAAAUAAAACCACAAGGUACGAAAAUGAUACACUUUAAACCACGGGUACUAAAGUGAGCAAAUGCGAAACCACAAUAGUGGUAUUUAAAGUUUUUUUGAAAAAAAAUUACUUGUUCCGAAUCUGUCCUAAUCAGUCAAAAAAAUAGAGUAGAAAAAUGAGAGUCUGCCUUUGCUUUUUUAUUGAUCUGUCCCGAUUUGCUAAAAUCUUAAACCGUUCCAAAUGGAGUGGUGACUUCAGAGAGAAAAUAUAAAAAUAAAAAUUAAUCCACUUCUUUUUUGAGAGAUCCACCAAGAAAAUAGGGCGAGAUGUGGGAAGCCUUCGAACCCCAAAAUCUACGAAGUUUGCAUCCCUAAAUCAAAAGUUUUUUUUUGUGAUAAUUAUUUAUAUACUGUAAUAUACUGAAAUCUCGGUAGGUUAUAUCGAACUUUAGUCAAAUUGACCAAAGCGUGGCGAGAGAGAUGAUUGGAUAAAGUCCAUACGACACUCCAACAGUGUUGGAGGGGUUAAAAUUGAAUUCCGAAUGCGAUUGAUAGGUUUUAGCAUUGCUCAACGUGAAAUAAAGUUUAGGCAGUGCUAAAAUUACAGUCUGGGGCACUGCGUACCGGUACUAGAGGAGGCGUAUCGGUACCAGGCAGCGAGGCAGAGAAGGCCAGCUCUCGGGUUUGGGAGAGCUGGGUGGCGUACCGGUACUGAGGGACGCGUACCGGUACUGAGGGACGCGUACCGGUACCAGGUGAAUACCCAAGAGGCCAGCUCUCGGGUUUGGCUAUUGCGAAGCAGCGUACUAGUACCAAAUAAGGCGUACUGGUACUAGGGCACUUACGUACCGGUACUCGAGCUUGUGUACCGGUACUCGGCGGUCUCCGCAGAGUUUGCUGCUCUCGGGUUUGGUUGGUCACCUAGGGGUAUCGGUACUCAAACCCGCGUACCGGUACCCAGUGCUGCGAACAGCAGAUUUUGAUUUGCUGCAAAUAUAAAAUAUUGGAGGGCUUAAAUGCAAUUGUGACAGCUUAUAUAAACCCCACACCCCUUCCUCUCUUGUUCACAGCCAAAAGAACACCCCAACUCCAUUUUUCUUCCUCUCUCUCUAGGAGCUCUCCCCCAAGAUGGAUUGAAGGAGAUUGGAGGAGAUUUGAAGGAGAAUUUGAGGCUUUGGAGGAUCUAGAGCUCACCUACAAGGAGAAGCUUAGAGAGCUUUUGGGCUAAGGUAAGGUUUCUUGCAAGAUCCAUGUUAGGGUUUGGUUUUAUACCCUAAAACACUUGGUGUUGAGCUUCUUGCAAGAAUAGAAACCUAGAUAACCCUAGAAAUCUCAUGAUGAACACAUGGUGUUCAUGGCAUGAAACCCUAGGGUUGGAAUUUGGAUUUUUGUGGAAUUAGGGUUUAUGGUUAAAUUGACCAUUUGUAAACCUAAUUGAAGGUAAAACCGACGCGUUGGGAGACUCGGUUCGAAGAUCCGACGAGUUUACGCAAAGAAAUUGAGGAAAAAGCCUAUUUUGGCUUUGUUUUGCCGCAGUCGAGAGAAUAGACAACCAAAAAUCAUGAAAAUUGAAUUGUAGCACCUUAGCAACCCUACGAGGUGGGUGGUGCUAUCCGAAAUCCUUGAAUUUUCUUUUAUAUCUAAAGUGUCACUUCUUGAGCAUAUGUAUGUAUAUGAACCUCAUGCAUUGUAGGGUGAGUUGAGAACAUGUUACUUGCAUAUUGUGAGUACAAGAUGCAUAUGUAAUGUUAGUGAACUAUAUAUUGAGAACUCAUGGACCCUAUGAAUGUGUGAAUAUUGACAAGAACUUAGUGAAGUAAAGAACAUAGUAACAUUAUAACAUGUGAGACACAUAGUGUGUUGUGGCAUUAAUGAGUCUAAUGAAUGCUAGAGUUGAACACAUAGAGUGUGGCAUUCAUGAGUAUAAAGAAUGCUAGAGCAUGAAACACUAGUGUGUGCCAUCAAUGAGAACAAUAAAUGCAAGAAAAUGGAAUAUUUGACAUUAUGGCAUAUGUGACAUAACAUCCUCAUAGUUGAGGCAUCUUUAUAGUUAAGGAUUGGCUAAAUUAUAGAAAACCCCCUGUCAAAACCCGCUUUUUCACUUUUCCCCUCUGUCAUUUAAAAACCUACACUUUGCCACCUUGUAAAAUAAAAAAUGUGUACUUCACUUCCUACCGUUAGGGUUCCGUUAUAAUAUUUUUUUAUACCAAAAAUGCCCCUUCGCCCCUCUUCCCUGUUACUUCGAUAGCUUCCGGGACGGCGCCCUCGCCGGCCUCGCCCUCCUCUACGAGCUCAACCUCCUUUUCGACCGCCCCCUCGACGUCAUCUUCCUCAACUCCAACCGCCUCCGCCCCCGCCGCCCCAUCCCCGCCAACCUCGGCGACUCCCCGGCCUCCAUCGUCAUCCUCGCCCAUAACAAACUCGACGGCUGCAUCCUACCCUCCAUCGGCUGCAUGGCCGACACCCUCAACGAGGUCGUCCUCCUCGACAACGGCCUCGCCGCCUGCGUCCCGCCCAAGGUCAGCCUCCUCCGCCGCGGAUGAGGAGAAUGAGGAAAAUGACGAAAAUGGUGAAGGGCAAAAUGAUCAUUUUGUCACACCGUACCCCCCUGUGAACAUUUUUUAUUUUAUAAGGGGGCAAAGUGUAGGUUUUUAAAUGACAGGGGAGGAAAGUGAAAAAGCGGGUUUUGACGAGGCGGUUUUUCGUAAUUUAGCCUUAAGGAUUUGAGUGAGCAUAACAUUUUUAUAGUUAAGGAUCAGAUUGAAAUUGACAUCCUUAUAGCUAAGGAUUGGACCAUACUCACCUGUAAGUCUUGGCUUGAGGGCGGUCGCACUUCCUCGAGCGAUGUGCUCCGGAGUAGUCAUUACUGGGUUGUAGUAGUCUCCCCAGAGGAUGGUCCCGUCGGGUUGUAGGAGUCUCCCCGAUAUUAGGAAUUUGAGUUGGUGAGUCGUUUUAGGCGAAACCUACGGGUUAUCGUGCUUAUUUUGAGGGAGAGUUUAUCUAUUUCUUUAUUAUCUUUUCAAAUUAUUUGUCAUCAUCAAAAAGGAGGAGAUUGUUGGAUUUUAUCCAAUAAUAAAUUUUGAUGAUAACAAACAAAUUUUGGAUUUAAUUUGUUACUUAGCAAUUUCAUGUUGUAAUUGAAUUUAAAGCAGCUCAAGUUGAACCGGAUUUGAUCAAAGGUAACCAUUCAAUCAAUUUAUUCAAAUUGGCCCGGACAAGAUCAAAUUGUACCAAAUUGAAUACAAAUGCCACAACAAUAAUUUGGAGGACUUCUUUAUAAUUUAUCGGAUUUGAGCCGGUCAACCUAGUCAAGUUGACCAAUUCACCUUUUGGGUUUGAUUUGUGCUUAAUGUCAAAUUAGCCAUUAUUUUAAUAUGGUAUAAAAGUGAUUUUAUGUAUGGUAUAAAUUCAAACAUGAUUUUAUUAUGGCGUGAAUUUUAUAUGCAUUGUAUUAUUUCAAAAGCUUUUACAAAUGUGGAAUGAAUUCAAAAAGAUAUUUCAUUUGUAGUAUUAAUUUAAAAGGAUUUUACGAAUUUGAUAUGAUUUCAAAUGAGCUUUUGAAUAUAGUAAUAUUUCAAAUGAGUUUUGCAAAUGUGGUAUGAAUUUGAAUUUAUUUUGGAAUUAAUUCAAAUGCAUUUGCAAAUAUGGUUAAAAUUCAAAUUAAAAUCAAUUAUGAUUUAAUCCUGCUUUUGUUCCAUUUUUGAAAUGAUGGCUAGUGUAUUUAAAAGGAGGCUUGGAUGUUGUUUGUGAUACAAUUUUAGAAAAAUUCUGUAAGUCUUAAUUGUUCAUUGAUUUGUAAUUGUGAGUUUCAUUGAGAGGUUGUAAAAGAAGUUUUGUGUGAUUGUAAGUGGCUUUGGUCUUGCCCUGUUCAAAAGGCCAAGUGAUAGUAAAAUCGGUACAUCGAGGAGAAGAAGGACUGAACUGGAGUAGGCAGAAAGGCCGAACCAGGAUAAAUCAUAUGUGUUAUUUGAGUUUGAUUUUAUUCUUUUAUUUGGUUGUACAAUUUUUAUCUUGAUUUAAUUUUACUUGAGUUUUUAGUUCUCAACUAAUUCACCACCCCUUCUUAGUUGUCAUUUGAUCCUUCAUUUGGUAUCAGAGAGCAGGUCUCACAUUUGCAGACUAACUGUCUCGUGAGAUGGCAACUUUUCACGCUACUAUUGAAGGUCAAUCCAUCGCUCGUCCUCCUUUCUUUACUGGGAGUAACUACACCUAUUGGAAGGUGCAGAUGCAAAUAUUUCUACAAUCCCUAGAUUUUGAUCUUUGGGACAUUGUAGAAAAUGAUUACACCAAGCCUACCACGGCAACCAGCAUGUGGAAGGCAGAGGACAAAGGUAAAUUUAAUUUGAAUUCUAAAGCGAUGAACGCUCUUCAUUGUGCUCUUGACUCAAACGAAUUCAAUCGAAUUUCUACAUGCAAAACUGCAAAAAAAAAAAUUUGGGAUAAAUUAACCGUUGUUCACGAGGGGACAAAUCAAGUAAAAGAGUCUAAGAUAAAUAUAUAUGCUUACUCGUGAUUAUGAAAUGUUUUGUGUGCAACCAAAUGAAAGCAUUACUAAUACGUAUACUAGAUUUACCAAUAUUAUUAAUAGUCUAAAGGCUUUGGAAAAGGCUUUUUCUGAUGCAGAUCUUGUUAGAAAAAUACUCAGAAGUUUUCCUCAAAAUGGACCUUGGGAACCAAAGUUGGCGGCCAUUCAAGAAGCGCGCGACCUCAACAAAUUUUCAUUGGAGGAACUCAUAGGGUUCCUUAUGACUUAUGAGUUACAAUUAAAAACGGAGCCUUCUACUUCCAUCAUCCACACUGAAACGAAAAAUAUAGCUCUCAACUCUAGUGAGGGAGAUGGAAGCAACUCCGACAAUACUACUGACGACGAGAUCUCACUUCUUAUCAAAAAAUUAAAGAAGAUCAUACAAAGAAAACACAGAGCUAAAUGGUCCGACAAAGGUAAUGGUAGAUCACACUUUUUUAAAAAGGAUGUUAAAUGCUAUAAUUGUAAUAAAAUAGGGCAUAUAAGUUAUGAUUGCCAAAAUCAAAGUAAGUCUCCCCGAAAGGAGAAAAAUAAGAAUAAAGUCUUCUCCGCUGCUUGGAGUCAUGAUAGCGAUUCCGAUAAGAAGGAAUCAACCAAGGAGGUCUCUAACUUAAGCCUCACCUAUGACGAUACACUUUCGAAUUGCUACUUCAUGACAAACAUAGAAGAUGAGGUAAAUGAUUUAACUUACGAUGAACUUUUAGAAACUUUUUAUGAUCAUUAUGAUGAUCUCCAAAAAUUUGGUCCCAAAUAUGUUUCUUUAAAAAAAGAAAAUACAUCUUUAAUCUCCAAUUUAAAUUUAUUAAAAUCUGAAAUAAAAGUUUAAAAACUGAGUUAAAUUUAUUAAAGAAGCAACUUGAGACCAAAAGUGAUGGCGAAAAUUAUAAAGGUACUGGUUUAUUAAAAACUGAAAAUGAAUCAAUAUCUAAAGAAGGACUUGAACGAUUCAAGAAACAUUUUAGAAAGAUUCAUUGCUAGCACAAAAGUUCUAAACAUGAUGUUGGGUAAUCAAAGAUCCUAUUUGGAUAAGACCGGACUUGGAUAUCAACACAAGUUUAGUCAAAAGAAAAAUAUUUUUAAACCAUUUAUAAAAUAUGUAAAUGGCAACAAAAAUGUGUUAUGCACCUAUUGUAACAAAAUAGGGCAUCAUGUAACCCAAUGUCAAUUUAAAAAUAAGUUUAAAUUUAGACAACUUUGGGUGGUGAAAGGUUCUAACACAAGUGGACCCAAAUCAACUUGGGUACCCUUCUUAACUUAAUUUUUUUGUGGUAUAAGAUCUUCUGUGUAAUUUUUUUUAUCCUCCUUUUUUUAAAAAAUUAAAUUUUUUGAUGAUAACAAAAGGGGGAGAAGAAAAGGUUACCUCAAAAUUAUUUUAAAAGUUUCGUUUAUCUCAAUUGAAAGAUUUUUUUUUUUAUCGUGCUUAUUUUGAGGGGGAGUUUAUCUAUUUCUUUAUUAUCUUUUCAAAUUGUUUGUCAUCAUCAAAAAGGGGGAGAUUGUUGGAUUUUAUCCAAUAAUAAAUUUUGAUGAUAACAAAUAAAUUUUGGAUUUAAUUUGUUACUUAGCAAUUUCAUGUUGUAAUUGAAUUUAAAGCGGCUCAAGCUGAACCGGAUUUGAUCAAAGGUAACCAUUCAAUCAAUUUAUUCAAAUUGGCCCGGACAAGAUCAAAUUGUACCAAAUUGGAUACAAGUGCCACAACAAAAAUUUGGAGGACUUCUUUACAAUUUAUCGGAUUUGAGCCGGUCAACCUAGUCAAGUUGACCAAUUCACCUUUUGGGUUUGAUUUGUGCUUAAUGUCAAAUUAGCCAUUAUUUUAAUAUGGUAUAAAAGUGAUUUUAUGUAUGGUAUAAAUUCAAACAUGAUUUUAUUAUGGCGUGAAUUUUAUAUGCAUUGUAUUAUUUCAAAAGCUUUUACAAAUGUGGAAUGAAUUCAAAAAGAUAUUUCAUUUGUAGUAUUAAUUUAAAAGGAUUUUACGAAUUUGAUAUGAUUUCAAAUGAGCUUUUGAAUAUAGUAAUAUUUCAAAUGAGUUUUGCAAAUGUGGUAUGAAUUUGAAUUUAUUUUGGAAUUAAUUCAAAUGCAUUUGCAAAUAUGGUUAAAAUUCAAAUUAAAAUCAAUUAUGAUUUAAUCCUGCUUUUGUUCCAUUUUUGAAAUGAUGGCUAGUGUAUUUAAAAGGGGGCUUGGAUGUUGUUUGUGAUACAACUUCAGAAAAAUUCUCUAAGUCUUAAUUGUUCAUUGGUUUGUAAUUGUGAGUUUUAUUGAGAGGUUGUAAAAAAAGUUUUGUGUGAUUGUAAGCGGCUUUGGUCUUGCCUUGUUCAAAAGGCCAAGUGAUAGUGAAAUCGGUACAUCGAGGAGAAGAAGGACCGAACUGGAGUAGACAGAAAGGCCGAACCAGGAUAAAUCAUCUGUGUUAUCUGAGUUUGAUUUUAUUCUUUUAUUUGGUUGUGCAAUUUUUAUCUUGAUUUAAUUUUACUUGAGUUUUUAGUUCUCAACUAAUUCACCACCCCCUCUUAGUUGCUAUUUGAUCCUUCAUCUUGCAUGCAUCAUGAGCAUUCUUAUUGUUGUAUUUCGUUCAGGCAUAUUAGCUGCAUUUGUAUAGCUUGGUUACUUAUCUAUCUGCUUAUUUCUUCUAUUAUGCCGAUUUAGACCUAAUGAGAAAGUCGGCGAGGUCGGCGGUCGAACCCACUGGAAACUUUGUUGUAGUUCUCAUCCCACUAUUUUCUACAGGUCUAAGUCCGAGAGAGGCGGUCGAGGACCGUGGCACGGGUAUCACAUCCUAGCUAGUGACUACCCGUGUAUAGUUUCAUACCUAUUUAGUUUCAUAUGAGUUAUAUCAUCUUUUUUAUUUAAUGAUGCAAAUUGUAUAAAUGAAGCAGCCUAUAUUUUGGAUGACAUAUGAUGUAUAAGAAAUGAAUGAAAUAAUGUAAAUGUUGAAUGCAUGUAUGUGAUUAAAAGUUAAUCAUAGUACUUGUAUGGAUGUUUAGUUUAGAAUCUUUCACUUUUGGCUAUUGCUUGCCCUCGUGCAAGCCAUAUAUGUUUAUAUUUCCGCUUGUGCAAACUAUAUAUAUAUAUUUGAUGUCUUGUUAAGCCUUGGGUGGACAGAGAAGAUGCUGUCCGUUCGGCGUCUGUUCGACGUACCGGAACCGACCAAAUAGACGGGCUCGGGCCUAACAUAUACUCUACAAAACUUUAUAUAUAUAUAUAUAUAUAUAUAUAUAUAUAUAUAUAUAUAUAUAUAUAUAUAUAUAUAUUUUCAUCCAAUAUGAGACUAUUUGGNNNNNNNNNNNNNNNNNNNNNNNNNNNNNNNNNNNNNNNNNNNNNNNNNNNNNNNNNNNNNNNNNNNNNNNNNNNNNNNNNNNNNNNNNNNNNNNNNNNNNNNNNNNNNNNNNNNNNNNNNNNNNNNNNNNNNNNNNNNNNNNNNNNNNNNNNNNNNNNNNNNNNNNNNNNNNNNNNNNNNNNNNNNNNNNNNNNNNNNNNNNNNNNNNNNNNNNNNNNNNNNNNNNNNNNNNNNNNNNNNNNNNNNNNNNNNNNNNNNNNNNNNNNNNNNNNNNNNNNNNNNNNNNNNNNNNNNNNNNNNNNNNNNNNNNNNNNNNNNNNNNNNNNNNNNNNNNNNNNNNNNNNNNNNNNNNNNNNNNNNNNNNNNNNNNNNNNNNNNNNNNNNNNNNNNNNNNNNNNNNNNNNNNNNNNNNNNNNNNNNNNNNNNNNNNNNNNNNNNNNNNNNNNNNNNNNNNNNNNNNNNNNNNNNNNNNNNNNNNNNNNNNNNNNNNNNNNNNNNNNNNNNNNNNNNNNNNNNNNNNNNNNNNNNNNNNNNNNNNNNNNNNNNNNNNNNNNNNNNNNNNNNNNNNNNNNNNNNNNNNNNNNNNNNNNNNNNNNNNNNNNNNNNNNNNNNNNNNNNNNNNNNNNNNNNNNNNNNNNNNNNNNNNNNNNNNNNNNNNNNNNNNNNNNNNNNNNNNNNNNNNNNNNNNNNNNNNNNNNNNNNNNNNNNNNNNNNNNNNNNNNNNNNNNNNNNNNNNNNNNNNNNNNNNNNNNNNNNNNNNNNNNNNNNNNNNNNNNNNNNNNNNNNNNNNNNNNNNNNNNNNNNNNNNNNNNNNNNNNNNNNNNNNNNNNNNNNNNNNNNNNNNNNNNNNNNNNNNNNNNNNNNNNNNNNNNNNNNNNNNNNNNNNNNNNNNNNNNNNNNNNNNNNNNNNNNNNNNNNNNNNNNNNNNNNNNNNNNNNNNNNNNNNNNNNNNNNNNNNNNNNNNNNNNNNNNNNNNNNNNNNNNNNNNNNNNNNNNNNNNNNNNNNNNNNNNNNNNNNNNNNNNNNNNNNNNNNNNNNNNNNNNNNNNNNNNNNNNNNNNNNNNUAAUUUGGAUACUUCUACACCGUUGAACUUAAAAACAUGCCACAUCGGCCAUUAAAAUAGUCAUUUUUGAGACCUUUUGAUCGCUUGGUAAAUGAUGUCAAAAAAUUAUAAAAUUUGGUUUCUAAAUAGUUCCAAUAGGAUAGAUUAUACUUAACGGAGCUGACCGUCGAAUCGGAUUUCCUAUCAUCGAAAACAACUUACAAGCACGGAGGUCUCCUUACUUUCGAAAGUACAAAAGACUUACUCUAUAUAUAUAUAUAUAUAUAUAUAUAUAUAUAUAUAUAUAUAUAGUUGUGCUUCUAUACUAUCAAUAGUAUAUAAGCUCCUAUAGUAUUAUUUUAAACCGUUGGAUCCUCUUUGAGAUCUGUGCACAAGUUUGGGGGAUUAAAGUGGGAUGAAGUGGGAUGCAACUAGUAACACUGUUAACAGAGAAAUAAUUGAGGAGAGAGAAUCCCAUUUCAAACCCCUCUCUCUCUCUCUCUUCGUUAACAUAGAAAUUUAAGAGGAGAGAGAAUCUCACUUCAAACCCCCUCUCUCUCUCUCUCUCUCUUUCUCUCUCUCUCCCAUCUCUCUCUCUUUUUACAAUUAUAGAAAAUGAUAAUUUCUCUGAGAUCUAUACUAUAGUAUCAAUAGUGUAUAAGCUCCUAUACUGUGGUGUUUUAAACCGUUGGAUCCUCUUUGAGAUCUGUGCACAGGUUUGGGGGAUUAAAGUGGGAUGAAGUGGGAUGCAAUUAGUAACACCGUUAACAGAGAAAUAAUUGAGGAGAGAAAAUCCCACUUCAAACUCCUCUCUCUCUCUCUCCGUUAACAUAGAUAUUAAAGAGGAGAGAGAAUCCCACUUUAAACCCCUCUCUCUCUUUCUCUUUCUCUCUCUCCCCCAUCUCUCUCUCUUUUUACAAUUAUAGAAAAUGACAAUUUUAUUUUAUUUUUUCUAAUAUUUUUUUGUUGAAUUAAAAUUUUAUAUUUUAAUAUAAUUUUUUGAAAAUUUAUAAAAAAAAAGGAGUCAUGAGCUAUGUAUCUUUUAAGAAAAUACAAGAUACUUGUAUUUUCUUUCUUUUUUCUACGUAUUUUUUUAAAUUUUUUUAUUAAAAAAAAUUCUACAAGAUUGGUACUAAAUAAAUUUUUAUUUUUUCUGCAAAAAAUAUUUAAAUACAAGAUUCUUGGUACAAUAUUUUUUUUACUGAUUUUUAUAAAAAAAUAAAAAUUAUGUAAAAAAAAAAAGAUUUGUGCUAAAAUUUUUAUUUUUUUUCUGAUUUUUUAAAAAAAUUUAUCAAUGUCUGUAUGUAUCCUUAAAAAUAAAUUUAUUAUAACUAAAGAGAGAGAGAGAGAGAGGGGUUUGAAGUAGGAUUCUCUUUCCUCUUUAAUUUCUCUGUUAACGAAAGAGAGAGAGAGAGAGAGAGAGAGGGCGUUGAAGUGGGAUUCUCUCUCCUCAAUUAUUUCUCUGUUAAUGGUGUUACUAACUUCAUCCCACUUUAAUCCCCCAAAACCUGUGCACGGAUCUUAAAGAGGAUCCAACGGUUUAAAACACUAUAGUAUAGGAGUUUCUAUACUAUUGAUAGUAUAGAAGCACAACUCUCUCUCUCUCUCUCUCUCUCUCUUCGUAUAUAUAUAUAUAUAUAUAUAUAUAUAUAUAUAUGUAUAGUAGGGCUACUGUGCUAUUAGGAGCACAACAGCCCUUGUGCUUCUAACUUUCUAACCACCCAUCAAGUUUGGUUAGAAUGAGAGAGGGAAUAGAUAUUUGAGAGAAAUUGGUUAGAAUGAGAGAGGAUCCACUAGUUUUGGACUUUUGCAAAAGUGGGCCACCUUUUUCGUUUUUGCCGAUUCGGUCCGAUUUUUUAGCAAAAUGACCAAAAUAUUUCUAUACCUUUUUCUCUCUCCGUUUUUUUUUGCUCUCGUUCUUUUUUUCUUUCUCUUCCCAGAGAGCGACGGAGGCAGAGGCGGAGGCGGAGGCGGCCCGCUUCUGUUUUUCGGCACGUCCUUACCCUCGCCCGCGCACCCCCGCCUUCCUCGCCUCCGACAUCGAGACCGUGCUGUGAUUUUUUUUCCCCUCUCCGACCCUCCUCCACCACCUCCGACGACGACGCCUCUCCGCCGACAUCGGCGCCGCGGAGGUCGUUGCGGCGCUGCAGCCUUGGAGCGGGGGAUCUUUAGCUGCGUCGUCGCCGGCGCCGUGGCCGUUGGCGGAGAGGCGUGACAAAAAAAAAUUAUAGAAGAGUAAGAAGAAAAAAAUAAAGGCAAAAAUUAUAUAAGAAAGAAGAUGAUGAUGAAAUUGCAUUGUUAAAAUAAGAUUACACUGUUUUAAAACAGAUUUGCACUGUUUUAAUGAAAAUUGCACUAUUUGAUAUAAAAAUUACACUUUUUUGGAAUGAAUUUUACUCUCUUAAGACUAAUGUUGCACUAUUUAGAAAAAUUUUGCACCAUUUCUUUUCUUUUUCUUUUUCUCUUUCUCUUCUUCUUCUUCUUCCGCUGCUGCCUCCCGCCCGGCCCGUGAAGGCGCGGUGGGGGCUAUUGCCGGGCUCGAGGAGGCUCCUGACAACGAAAAUUACACUCUUAAAGGGUGCAGUUUAAGAGGAGAAAUAGUACAACAAGAGAAGAAAUAGUACAACAAGAGGAGAAAUAGUGCAAUAAGAGAAAAAAUAGUAUAAAUAUCUCUUAAAUGGUGCAGUUUACAUCUCAAAGAGUGCAAGAAGAGGAGAAACAUUUUAAUAUCUCUCAAAGAGUGCAACUUUCAUUCAAAGAGUGUAAUUUUAAUCUUAAAGGAUGCAGUUUACAUAUGAAAAGUGUAAUAAGAGGAGAAACAGUGUAAAUAUCUCCUAAAAAGUGUAAUUUUCGUUUAAAAAGUGUAAUUUUUCUUAAAGCUACAGUUUACAACUUAAUAAUGCAACUUAUGUCCAUAAUAAUGCAACGUUCUUUAAAAUAGUGUAAUUUUACUUUAACGAUACAAUUUCAUCUUCAUCUUCUUUUUUUUUAAUUUUUUGUCUUUAUUUUUUUUCUUUCUUCUUCUAUAAUUUUUUUUGGUCACCCAUCUCUGCCAACGGCCACGGCGCCCGCGACGACGCUGCUAAGGACCCUCCGCUCCAAGGCUGCAAUGUCGCAACGACCUCCACUGUGUCGGCGUCGGCGAAGAUGCGUCGUCGUCGGAGACAGCAGAGGAGGAGGGAGAGAGAGAGGAGGACGAGAAUGGCGAGGAAGGGCGAGAGAGAGCGAGAGAGGCGUCGUCGUCGGAGACGGUGGAGGAGAGUCGAAGAGAGAAAAAAAAAAGAGUCGUGCCGCGGCUUCGGCGAGGUCGGAGGUGAGGAAGGUGGGGGGUGCGAGGGCGAGGGUGAGGGCGAGGGCUAGAGCAUGAGGGUGAGAGGCGAGACAGGCGAGGCUGGCCGUUUUUCGACGAGAGAAAAAAAAAAUGAACGAGAGAAAAAAAGAGAAGAGAAAAAGAGGAGAGAGAAAAAGUAAUAAGGAUAUUUUGGUCAGUUCGCUGAAAAUCCGGUCAAAAUCUGCAAAAUCGAAAAAAGUGGCUCACUUUUGUAAAAGUGCAAAACUAGUGGAUUUUUAUGCAAAUUGGCCUAAUUUAAAAGGUUUGAUAGUUCCAUUUCAUAAAAAAAAAAUUUGCCAUUUUUUAAACCCAGUAUCCUUUAUUCUCCCCUCCAGUUCCCCUUGCUCUGCUCUCUUUUCUAGGGUUUAUGGAAACCCCAACCACCAAAACCUGAACCAUUCAUGGGGCUGCUCUCAUCUCCUCCUCCCCACUCCUCUAAACCCUACUCCGAGCUCUCCAAUCGCACCCCAAUCCCACGAUCACAUCCCCACCGUCCCUCCCCAAACCCUAGAAUCCCCCACCUCACCUCCUCCGCCGCCGCCGCCGCCGCCGCCGCCGCCGCAGCAUGAGGCGACGCGCGGCGGCGCUCGUCCUCUCCCGCUCGUCGCCGCUCUCCCCCUUCGCCGGAGCCGCCCCUCCGUUCCCGCCGCACAAAUCCGGGUUCUCCCGCGCGAAUCCGUUCAAAAGGCCCCGCCUUUGUGCCCUCCUCUGCUGCAGUGGCACCUGCUCCUCUUCUUCCUCCCCCGAUGAUGAUUUGAGUGGCUUGGUCGAUCCUGAGUUCUCUGAUCCGUCGAACGGAGACUCACGCGGUCGAGGGAGCCAUCACGGGGGCUCCGUCUCGGCCAAAGACUUCGCCUUUUUGCAGGAAGCGGCGGCGGAGCGGAGCUCAACUGAUUUGGGCGAGUUCUCUCCUGAGGGCGUUUUGAUCUCCAAGGCGAUUAGGGCUAGCGGAACCGACUUUGAUAGCAAAACCGAGAAGUUGUUAAGGCGAUUCAGAGAGAAAAUAGAUGAAUCGAUAGUGAUCGAUGUGCUCAGGCUCGUGAAAGUUCCGGAACUGUGCAUCAAAUUCUUUACCUGGGCCGGCCGCCAAAUUGGGUAUGCUCAUACGGGCGCGACAUAUGAUGCGCUAAUCAAAAUUUUGGGUUUUGAUGAGAAAAGCAGAGUCGCCAAUCAGCUUCUACGCGAGAUUGGAGAUGAUGACCGUGAAGUGCUCGUCAAAUUGCUUAAUGUAUUGGUUAGGAAAUGUUGCCGUAACGGGCUUUGGAAUGAAGCCUUAGAGGAGCUCGGAAGGCUUAAAGACUUUGGUUUUAGGCCAUCCAAGGUUACAUAUCAUGCUUUAAUUCAAGUUCUUUUAAGUGCCGAGAGAUUGGAUAUGGCUUUCUUAGUUCAUAAGGAGAUGUCGGACUCAGGUUUUUGUAUGGACAGGUUCACUAUGGGGUGCUUUGCCCACUCUUUGUGCAAAGCCGGGAGGUGGGUCGAAGCUCUCAACAUGAUAGAGAGAGAAGAUUUCACGCUCGAUACGGUUCUAUGCACUCAGAUGAUAAGUGGGUUGUUGGAGGCUUCUCUUUUUGAAGAAGCCAUGUCUUUCCUUCAUAGGAUGCGGUCUAACUCGUUCGUCCCGAAUGCGAUAACUUAUAGAACGUUACUAUCCGGGUUUCUGAGGAAGAAGCAGCUUGGUUGGUGUAAGAGAAUCAUUAAUAUGAUGAUCACCGAGGGUUGUAAUCCGAGCCCAUCCCUGUUUAAUUCCCUUGUUCAUGGUUAUAGCAAAAGUGGAGACUAUGAUUAUGCUUAUAAGCUGCUAAAAAAAAUGGUGGCUUGCAAUUGCCCUCCGGGUUAUGUGACUUAUAAUAUAUUUAUUGGGAGUAUAUGCGGUAGUGAUAAAUUACCGAGUUUGGACUUAUUGGACUUGGCAGAGAAAGCUUAUUACGACAUGCUUAAUGCGGGCGUUGUUCUCAAUAAGGUGAAUGUUUCUAAUUUUGCUCGAUGUCUAUGUGGGGUUGGAAAGUUUGAUAAGGCAUUUGAGAUCAUAAAGGAGAUGAUGAAGAAGGGGUUCGUACCUGAUACUAGCACGUACUCCAAAGUCAUUGGUUUUCUUUGCGAAGCUUCUAAGGUGGAGAAGGCUUUCCUUUUGUUUGAGGAGAUGAAGAGGACGGGUGUCGUUCCCGAUGUUUAUACCUACACUAUUUUAAUUGAUAGCUUUUGUAAGGUUGGACUCAUCCCACAAGCGCGAAUUUGGUUCGAGGAAAUGGAGAGAGGUGGAUGCAACCCAAAUGUGGUGACUUAUACGGCACUUAUACAUGCUUAUUUGAAGGCUAAGCAAAUUUCUGAGGCAAACGAUCUUUUCGCGAGAAUGGUCGGCGAUGGAUGCCUCCCUAAUGUAGUGACAUACACUGCAUUAAUCGAUGGCCUUUGCAAAGCUGGUGAAUUUCAAAAGGCAUGCAAUAUAUACUCCAAAAUGAUUGGGGUUAUUCAAACUGCGGAUAAUGAUAGACACUUCGAAGAUGACAAUUUUGACUCCUUAGAGCCAAAUGUCUUUACUUACGGAGCAUUGGUGGAUGGUUUGUGUAAAGCCCAUAAAGUAGUCGAGGCCCGCGAUUUACUCGAUACAAUGUCAUCUAAAGGUUGUGAGCCAAAUCAUGUCGUUUAUGAUGCUCUUAUCGACGGCUUCUGCAAGGCCGGAAGGCUCGAUGAUGCACAAGAGGUUUUUGUGAGAAUGACUCAACGUGGUUAUAUGCCUAAUGUUUAUACGUACAGCUCCUUGAUUGAUAAGAUGUUUAAGGAUAAAAGACUUGAUCUUGCUUUGAAGGUCCUCUCUAAAAUGUUAGAGAGCUCUUGUGCGCCUAACGUUAUUACUUACACUGAGAUGAUUGACGGGCUCUGCAAAGUGGGAAAAACUGAGGAGGCUUUGAAGCUUUUAUCGAUGAUGGAGGAGAAAGGCUGUAACCCUAAUGUUGUAACUUACACUGCAAUAAUAGAUGGGUUCGGUAAAGCAGGUAAAAUCGACAUGUGUCUUAAGCUAUUCGAGCAGAUGACAACAAAGAGUUGUGCUCCAAAUUUUGUUACUUACCGGGUUUUGAUCAGCCAUUGUUGUGCCGCUGGGCUUUUGGAUGAGGCCCACAAACUGCUCGAGGAAAUGAAGCAGACAUACUGGCCGAGAUAUGUAGCAGGUUAUAGCCAUGUGAUUCAAGGGUUUAGUAAGAAGUUUAUCGCCUCGCUUGGGCUUUUAGAAGAAGUGGCUACUUAUAGUGCGGUGCCCAUUGCUCCUGCUUAUAGUAUGCUUAUUGAUAGUUUCUCCAAAGCUGGUAGGCUGGAGGUAGCACUGGAAUUGCACAAAGAGAUUAUGGAAACGGCACAAUGUCCGGCAGUUGCUAGCAAAAACAUGUAUGCAUCAUUAAUUCAAGGGUUUUGUUUGGCGUUGAAGGUUGAAAAAGCUUUCGAAUUGUACAGUGAGAUGAUAAGGAGGGGACUUGUGCCUGAUUUGGCCAUCCUCUUUUGCCUCAUCAAGGGACUCUUAAGAGUUAACAAGUGGGAUGAAGCACUCCAACUGUGUUAUAGCAUACACCACAAUGUAAGCUCUUCCUCCUUCUCCCCCCCCCCGCCCCCUCCACACACACACAUACAUACUAUAUGCUUUCCAAGUUGAAUUGCUGCAUAGAGGAUAUCUUUUCUAUAUGUUUUGUCAAAUUUAAUGGAUUAUGCAUGGAUAUCUAAAUGAUGGUACCUUGCUUUCUAGAUUAUUAUUAUCUUGCUAUGGAUCUUAAGGAAGUCUUUAUAUUUUUUCGAGGGCUGCUUUGUAGUUAAACUCAUUAGUUUCUUUACAAUAAAAUCUUAUCUUUGUUAUUUUCUUUCAAAAACUACCGUUGGCGUUCUGCAAUUUGUUUGAUUGGUAUAACGUCGCGAGUUGAUUGUACUAAAGCAUUUAUGUUAGAACGCUUUAUUUUAUCUGUUAUGUAAUCUUGUUAUAGUUCUCAAUCGGUUGUUCCUUGACUUAUCUCUGUA